This 75270-nucleotide long non-coding RNA is filed under the name Malus domestica (apple). Its description in RNAcentral is "long non-coding RNA (MDOM_LNC009972)". Lineage: Eukaryota; Viridiplantae; Streptophyta; Magnoliopsida; Rosales; Rosaceae. The record is from RNAcentral.
UUUUUUUUUUUUUUUGGUAAUGCCUGCACUUUUUCAUUGAGCCAUUUGUCAUGGUUUAUUAAAUACAGGUCGACUCCACAGUCUCCACUAAGAUGAGAAAACUCAGCACACAUUUUAUCAGUUUUAUGCGCACAAUGCAUGGCGUAAUAACCAAAAUGUAUUUUGUACCGUGAGACAAUAUGACAGCUCGAAGAAACGAGUCAUAUUCAUCCAUGGCUCCCAGACUGAUCAUGGCUUAGAGCUGAAUACCAGAAUUGACAACAUUCAAGUAUAACAAGUAAACAACCAAACAUCUUUUGCAGAAGUUUCAACGUAGAACCACUCCAUGUUUUGCAACACAUUUUUCAAAAGAAAUAGAGGCAUCCUUUUUCUUUUAUUCUAGUACACUAUUAUAUAAUUUGAUUUCGUAUAAUAAAAAGUUUGAGCAAUCAUAUAUAUGUCAUUAUUUGUAAGUGGUCCUCUACCACAGUGAUGAAAAUGAGUAUUGCCCUUACAUCAUGACAUGUGUUCAAAUCACAUUGGCUCUAUAAUCUAACAUAUAAUUUAACAAAUUAAUCGUUUGACAAAAAAAAAAAAAAAUAUAUAUAUAUAUAUAUAUAUCUUUAUUUAAGAUUAGCGUACGAAAUAUUAUUUUGACGUUUAGAUCGAAUGAGUAUGCUUAAUGUGUGCUUGUAGUUUUAGUUUUCUUUAUACUAGUAGUCAGUGGUGAAGUCAGGAUUUCUUGGGGGGAGGGCGAACUUAAAAGAGUGCAAGGUUAAAGAAAAAUGGCAACAAUUAAAUUUGUUUAUAUAGUAAUGUCUUUCAUAAUUAAUCAAUACAAACAAAUUACAAUUGUUGCCGCGAGAUUUCAUGUCAUGAAAACGUAGCAUAAUAGGCUCAUUAUCAAUAAAAGCAAAUACAUCUCUCUCAACGUAAACAACCAUGCUAUCACUUAACCAUUGAUCUCCCAUUUUGUUACGCAAUGGUGUUUUCACAAUCUUCAUAGUAGAAAAGGCUCUCUCCACCAAAGCGGUUGCAACCGGUAACACAAAAGCCAAUGUAAGAAGUUUAAACACUAACAUAUAGCUUUCACACCUCCCGAUCUUCACUAACUCUUUUGCAAGAUCACUAAUUCCUCUCAAUAAUGAAAACUCACUAUGUAUCUUCAUAUCAUGAAUGUAAUUGUCAAGUUGAAUUGGAAGAUUCAUGAGGUCUAUACGAUCAAAAUCUUGAGGAUAAAGAUAGGCUAAACGAACAAUUUUUGCUUUGUCAAAAGAUGCAAAAUUAUUCACCGGACUCAAACAUGCCAUACAAAGAAGCAGCUCGGUGUUUACCUCAUUGAAGCGAUCAUUCAAUUCCUUUAGCUGCAUAUUAAGGACUUGAAAAUAGAGGUCCACACGAUAGUAAUGAAAGUUCGUGAUUUUUGGAGCUUUAUGCCUUGAUUUUCCAGGUACAAAAUGCAAAUCCUCCAUGUUAGGAACGACGAUAUCAUGCUCCUCACAAAACUUUUCUACAUCAUGAAGCAAGUCCCCAAAGUCAUCAUCUCUCAAGGAUUGUAGUCUUUGCUUGCAUACUUCCACUAAUGCCAUCACAUUCACAAUAUCUUGAUCUUUCUUUUGCAAUGCUUGUGAUAACUCAUUUGUAAUUCCCAAUUAUUCUUAGACUCUUAAUCCUAGAGUAAACUAUACUAAUAUGCAUAAUAACUAAUCCAACCAACAAUUCAAUUAAUCAAUACCAAUUAGCAUACAAAUUAUUCAAUAAAUAAAAAUUCAAUUCAACUAAUCAUAUGAAUAAUUGUAUACAUUAUGUAAUAAUUCAAUUAAUUAAUCAAUAAUCAAUAAUUUUAAUUUUAAUUUUCACCCUAAAAAUUAAUUUCAUAAUAUCAUAUCAAUAAUCAACAACCAAUAACCAACUUAGUGCAUUACUGUUAACUACAUUGCAAUGUUUGAGAAUUGAAAGGAAAAUUAAGGAAGAUGAAGAAGAAUGAACAUAGAGAUCUUAGAGAGAGAGAGAGAGAGAGAGAGAGAGAGAGAGAGAGAGAGAGAGAGAUAGGGUUUGGAUUAACUAACUAAAUGAAGAUUACACACACAGUUUUUAUAAGAGAAAUCCUAACUACUUUAACCAAAUACUAACAACCUUCUAACUAUAUUACUAAUUGUACUGUAUUACGUUUGUACCCUUAAUACUCUCCCUCAAUCUCAACUGGGGUAACCCAGUUUGAGAUUGGAGAAACAUUUAUGCAAUUACUGAACACAAUGUUGAACCAUCUGCAAUCUUGCAAUCCCACAGCAAAAUCUCAUGUGCAACUCUAUUGACACAACAAAUUCUUUAUCAGAAACCUUGGUCCCGCCAGCCACAGUCACUUCCAAACAUGUGACUCCAUGGCCUUAGGCAAUAUUAACAAUCAGCUGCAAACAUAUGUGCCAUGGCCCAUGGCAUGGAAAUUGCAUGAGAAGCUUUUGACAUCACAUUGCUUUCGCCUCCAACUUGUCCACCAUUGUUUGGCAUCUCUUUGCUGUUAACUCCAACUUCUCCAGCACUGAUUGGCAUCACUAAACUGCGCAAUUUCUUAUUGGUUCUUUCCAAAGAAGUUCAGCCCCACAAACUGAUGUUUACACAUCUGUAGCUACUGUAAACCAAAUAGAAGUUUGCACCUUUUGCAGAUACAAUUUUUCCAUCCAAAAAUUCAAUAUUCAUUUGCCUCUUGCAUGAGCUUCAAUUGAAGAACAACCUCUUAUAAAAUUGUAACGCACCCUCAAGCCGGUUAUAACAAUUUCUUGCAGGAUUACCCUUUGUGCGAUUUACCAUCAUCAACUUCAUUUAACAUUGGCAUUGGCCUUUAAAACAGAAAAAAUAACAAACUAUAGUGUGGCAUUAGCCUUAACUAUAGCACCACGAGAUCGCCCUUACCAAAAUACAACUACUCUUAACAGUGGCAUCGACCUUCACAAUUUCAACAACAGAAAAUUAACAUCUAUGUAGGAUUACCCUUCGUGGGAUUUACCUACUCACAUCAUGGAAUUAUCCUUCGUGGGAUUUACCGUUAACAACUUCUUCUACCGUUCGUGGGAUUUUCCUAUUUACAUCAUGGAAUUACCCUUCGUGGGAUUUACCGUUUACAACUUCUUCAAACUUCAUCAUAUAACCGAACUUACUGUAGAUUCAUGCUAACAAUUGAGUUGGUUAGACUCGACAGUAUAGGCUGUAAUAAAGAAAGUACUGCAUCAUUCCUUCAAUUAGCAUUAUAGAAACCUAAAUUGCUCCAGUUAAUGGCAUGCAUAUGGAGGCAAGAUCAGGGGACCCCUCUGUCGUUGAUAGGGCAUCAAUAUUAGCUUCAAUGUCAAAUGUUCCAAAUGACUUGUCACUAGUUCCAAAACCUGGUAAAGCUGGUGACGAGCUGCAACAAGAUGCAGAGAUGACUUCUCUUCCUUCUGCCUGUCGAGGUUCAGACGACCAUACUUCAGACAUUGUGAUAAAGGAGAGUACGAGUUGCAGAAAGAUUAAACCCAAUAAACUUGCAGACUAUCAAUGAAGCAGAGAAAGAACUGGACACCACCAUACAAAUUGCACAAUCUAGCAAUGAUCAAUAUUCUUGAAUCCAAGAAUCCCAAAUAUCACAAACAUUGAUCUUGACAUGAAGAAUCUAGAAAACAAAUAUCACAAACAACUGGAAGAACCCAAAAAAAGAUUCACAAGAAAGACGAACAAGCGGAGUGUAAAUUCAAUAUACCACUCUUUGGCUAUCGGCCUUACUAGUUGACAAAAUAGCGAGCAUUUUCUUACUAAAACAUUUAACCAAACAGAUUAAGUGCACUGUGAAAACCAGAAAUCAAGAACCUGAUAAGAACUUCAAUCUUGAGCCAAAUACCACAGAGAAAGCAAACUAGAAACCUUGGCGAAUCAAUCUACCGACUAGCAGUAACCAUGGCUUUCCUUUCUCGCUCACACACACUGAGAAAUCCAAGACUGAGCAAAACCCAAGUGAGAAAUGAAGAGAUCACAAACAUCCAUGAAAUACACAUGAUGCACCUUCUGAUCAUGUUACAGGCAAUACUACAACUGAUGAUGCACACUUAACAUCUGACAACCCUCAGAUUUUGCCAUUGGUUACAGUGAUCAGGCAGAUCCUCCUGUUUGCCAUUUUUUUUUUUAAUUUCCGACUUGGAUUGCCGCCUGGCCUGCCUCCAUAGCUCAGGUUGUUCCGAAGUUCUGAAGGUGAAGGAAGAGGACAGGGCCGACAUCUUCCAUGUGAAGGUCGAGUAAUGGUGUCGUACUGGUCUUGUCGGCUUCAUCUUGAAACCUAUAGAAGAAACCCCAAAACUAAACACAAAACCCUUGGCAGAAAAAUCCAGAUAACAAAAAUAAGAACUAUGAAUAUGGAAGCAUAAACGAUCAAAUACGCGGAAACGAUAGAAAGUAAUGAGAGAAGAGGAAUCAACCACCAAGAUCCAUGGCGUGAGCCUCUGUGGCUCUGAUACCAUGUUAACUACAUUGCAAUGUUUGAGAAUUGAAGGGAAAAUUAAGAAGUAAGAUGAAGAAGAAUGAACACAAAGAUCUUAGAGAGAGAGAGAGAGAGAGAGAGAGAGAUAGAGUUUAGAGAGAGAAAUAGGAUUUGGAUUAACUAAAUGAAGAUUACACACACAGUUUUUAUAAGAAAAAUCCUAACUACUUUAACCAAAUACUAACAACCUUCUAACUAUAUUACUAAUUGUACUGUAUUACGUUUGUACCCUUAAUAAUUACCAUAUUCAUAUGAUUCUAUUUCUAUACUAAAUUACCAAUUAAAUAAAAUUCGUAUUAAAUAAUUAUUUAGGGUUAGGUAGGGAUUAUAAAUUUACCUUUGAAUUGAAGUUUGAAGGCUCUGGCCUAGUGGAAGCCAAUGGCUCAGUGGCUGGAGCCUGGAGUGAGACUAUGAAAAGAAAUGGCUGGAGUGAGACUGUGAGAGGAAACGACUCUGUUGCUCCGUUCCUUUCCGUUGCCUAUUGUGCAGCAGAAUCCACUAUGUUGUAGUGCAGCAGAACCAGUUCACCGUAGAACAGACAGGGAGCGGAGGGGCUAGGUUUUUUAGGAGGGGAGGGGCUGAACCUGUGUUGGGGCUGUGUUUUCCGGCAAGAGAAGUGGCGGCCGCCACUCCUCGCCCUCACGUGGCUUCGCCACUGCUAGUAGUUAAUUAACUUUGACCACGAGCUUAACACAUGAAAGUUACUAAGUAAAAAUUAUAAAAAGAAAGAAUGUAUGCCUAGACAUCGAAAUUGAAUUUUCUUAUUUACAAUAUGCUUAACAAAUGAAAAACAUUUUCCAAAUAAAUUUAUAUAUACACUAGAAUUUUGAAAUCAACUUUUUGUUGUUGUUGGAAGGAACGUGAACCCUACUAAAUUCUAUUUAUCUUAAUAAGAUAGCCAACAUUUUAUUUAGCUUCUUUAUUUUGAAAAGUAUUAGGGAAACCAAAUUUUUGGACCAUUUUUUGUAGAUCAAAUGGUAUGACCAUUGAUGGUUGAACUUAUUUUUAAUGAUUUAAAGCAGGAGUCUAGUAUCUAGUCACCACAUCAUGUGGUUUACAAAAUAUGAUUUAAAAAUUUGGUAUCAAAAUGUGUGAAUUUUUUUUUUUGAACAAAUGAUAUUAUUUACUCUAAGGGAUUAGCCUCAUAAUGAGUUAGCAUUAAUAUAGUUCAAAUUUACCUUGGCAAGAAUCGAACCUAAGACCUCUUACUUACAAGUGAAGAUAAAUACCACUAAACCGUAAUACUAAGUGGCAAAUUUUUUUAACAAAGUGCAUACUUCUUGUCUGUAUAUCGACAAAUGGAGAAUUAUUGGUGCAUGAAACAUGAUCUAAAUCAGUCCCCAGAUUUUAGCCUCAAAAAUUAAGUUCUCUUGAAUUUUGAGAAGCUAGCUAGACUAGCAAUGGUGGCCAUUUUUCUUGACUGAAGAGACAAAUAUAAUACGUUUAGAGUAGUUUGAAGUCUCUUUUACUACUUUUUCUCUAUACUACUAUAUAAGGAUCCUCGCUGGAUCUUUUUCGGGAUCCUGCAAUUGUGUUCAUUCAUCGUAUAUCGUGCGGUUAGUUUUCGUUAGAUACUAUUUAUAUUUGAAUUUUAAAUUUUAAAUGAUUUAUAACCGUACGAUAUACGAUGAACGGACACAAUUAUAGGAUUCCUAGAAUCCCUAGGAAAAGGAUCCAGUGAUGAUCCAUUUCCUUACUAUACACACACACACACAUAAUUGCUCUCACAAUUUUUCGUAUCUUCUCCAUGAAAUUAAGAAAAUCCAUCAACCGGUAUUUUCUUAUAUAAUCUUUUAUUUUAUUUAUUUUUAAGGUCUGCAAUGGUGCCUAACUUUGAAAUUUUGGUGUUUUGAAAUAAAAGUCGAAAGUCAAGAAAAGCUAUCGACAAUACCAAUUAUAAACCCAUACCUAAUCGAACCUAAUACUAACGGUUUUACAAAUUAUAGUAUAAAGCACAUGCGUAGUUUUGUCAUGCAAGUUCGUUGUCCAGAAUACUUACCAGAUAAGACAAAUAAAGGCUGGGAUAUGGCCCGAUAUUUCUCUUAAAUAAUUCAAGAGUCGUAUUUGCUACAAUGCCAGUAUUUGCUUGAUUAGCUACACAUAGAACUGACAUUGUCAAUUGUGACACUCAAAACUCAAAUGUCACUUCCAGACCCUCCCUAUGAAUAUGAUAGCUCUCUACCAACGGGAGAGGACUUAUUUCCCAUGGAUUUGCCACUAUAGCAGUAUUGAAAACAACAACGAGUUAGUUACAUCAAAAGAGAUUUGUCCAUAACAUCAUAUUUCCGCACACCAUUGUAGGUAGUACCGAUGAACUAUUGUUUCCUACACGCAUUGGCAAUUAGCAUUUCAUUUAUGUAUAUCUAACAGGCUAUUAGGAGUGGUGCAUCAUAACUUUAAUUUCCUGGUGUCAUAGUGCAAAAAAAAUUCAAUUUUUUUUAUUAAUACAUUUAGUCGAGCACAUAGUGAGUAUGUUAUCAUCUACCUAUAUUUGUUGAAAGCUUCCAUGUGUGCUACUUGGAUAUUUCGACAACUUGUAAGGUUUGAUAUCGAGGCAUGUCGAGCAUCACUUGUCAAUAUUCACCGAAUUAUGCCAAAGUGGCAUUUCAUCGAGUUGUUUAUAAGCAUUCUCAUCGUGUCUUCAUUUUAUUAUGUCAUACUUAAAAUUUAGUAUAUGAUUCAUUUACUUUUUUAUUCCUUAAGUUGCUAGUUAACACAUGAAUAGAAUGAUACUCAUUCAUUGCAAUAUUAUUCAUUGUAAGUGAGCAUGCCCAAUUCAGUGUUUCCUUUGUGUCUCCUCUCUAAUUUUUGGACACUUUGUCCCUGAAAUUAACCUCCAAAUCAAUGGUGUUAUCAUUUCAAAGACCAACAUAACAAAUAAAAUGAAAUUAAAGAAAAGUAAAAGGAUCUUUUUCUUCUUGGGUUUAACCAACAACCGCAAAACAUCCUUGUAUUUCUUUUCAAGACUUGAUAAUUUACAUCAGAUUUUUUCUGGAGCUACGAAAUAAUUAUUCUUGCAUGGCAUUGUAUUUUAUUUAUUUUUUGGUCGAAAUCUUGCAUGGUAUCUUCACCAAAUCCCAAAAGUUAUUAACGACAAAAAAUGGUGGAUCCCCAAAAGUUAUGACCAAUUUGAUCCAUUCCCACAUUGACUGUCUCCGCUGGUUCAUUUCACGUAAACGUGCCUUUGAAGGUUUACCACCUUUCUCCAUCCAAAUCAUUCAAUCCAUCGCAUUCUUUGCUGCUGUGGUUGUACUACUAGUUGAUCCCUUCAACUAAAAAGCAAACUCUUCCUAAUUAAAUACUAGAAGUAGAAAUUGUCAUGCCAUGCACUGCUUAGUCUUAGUCUUUCGGAUUAGGUUAACCUGUCAUCCAGAAAAUCUCCCCACUUUAUCUUCCUCUAUAUAUAACCCUAUUGUAUUCUCCAUGCAACACCAUAUUCUCAAACGUUGUUAAUUCAAUUACAUUUUGAAUUUGAAACAAUGGCUUUCAGUAAUACUUUUUCUUUGUGUUCCAUAUUGAUAAUUGUCACAGUAGGUGUUCUUGUGGGUUUCACUGGGAGCUCUUCUGCUCAACUCUCUACGAAUUUCUAUUCUAAGAGUUGUCCUAAAGUUUUUGAUACAGUCAAAUCUGUUGUCAAGUCUGCUGUAUCUAAAGAAAAGCGCAUGGGCGCUUCUCUUCUUCGCCUUCACUUUCAUGACUGCUUCGUCAACGUAAUUUCUUUUUAAUAUGUGCUUCUCUCUAUUAUAAUUUUUCUUUAUUAAACACAUUAUCUGUUUAUGUGAUCAUACUAUUAAUUAAAAAGUUGGAUAAUGUUGAUCACAUAUCAUCUAGUAUGGAUGCCGUGGUGGUUAAGAUAAAGAGAACAUGAAGGGAAAGAUUGAUUUCAUUGAGAUUUGGAAUGAGUGAAUAGUGUUUACAAGGCAAUACAUGAAUUGAUUUCCCUGUUUACAACUCUGUAGAGGGAAUACAUGAAUCUCUUCCAUUAUCAACCAUAAUAGAAUUGAUAACACCUCUUAUAGUUUCUAACAUCACUACUAAUGAUGACCUCUAAUUUGAUGACACUGACCAUAUGUUUUAUACUUCUCAUUAGUGUUUGAGUACAUUUUUGCUCUCCUUUAAGUGAUCGUAAUGCACCCCAUUGUAUUUAUUAACGUUGGAUGAAUUUAAAUUUUGAGAUUUGUGUCUAUCCACUACAUAGAUUUUAAAAUUUAAAUUCAUCUAACGGUGAUAAAUAGGGUGGUGAAAAAAGAUUUUCCUUAGUGUUCAGGUAAUUUUCUAGUUGUACAUUAACUAUGUUGCAGUCCAGAUGUUGUUAUAAUUUUUUUUUUCCAGUUACUUUCUAUCCAUGUUUCUUAUGGUAAAACCUCAAUUUCUUCACUUUCAAACCAAAUAAUAAAAGUCAAUAUAUAUUAGUGGAUAUUGUUAUUAAUUACUAAUACUAAUCAUAUGUUGUUGAAUUCAUGCAUCAUACCAGGGUUGUGAUGGAUCUCUAUUACUGGACGACACUUCUUCCUUCACCGGUGAGAAGACUGCAGGCCCGAAUAACAACUCGGUAAGAGGGUUUGAGGUUGUGGACAAGAUCAAGUCCCAAGUGGAAAAGGCAUGCCCCGGCGUCGUUUCCUGUGCUGAUAUCUUAGCUAUUGCUUCUCGAGACUCCGUUCAAAUUGUGAGUAACAAAACUACAUGAUUUAAGUAACUAUGUGCUAGGUUUAGGGAGAUUUUAAUCGUCUAAGUUAAGUAUAAAUUUAACGGUUUUUAUUUUAUUUUACUGCAGCUUGGAGGACCAAGUUGGGAGGUUAAACUUGGAAGAAGGGAUUCAAAGACAGCUAGCCUAUCGGCUGCCAAUAGUGGAGUCAUCCCUCCUCCUACUGCCACCCUCAACGAGCUCGUCACCAGGUUCCGAGCUGUAGGUCUCUCUCAAAGGGACUUGGUAGCCUUAUCUGGUAAAUUUCAGCUUCCUUUUAACUAUGUACAUCUUUUGCUGGCUCUUUUGUCAUUUCAUUGGUCAACCGGGAGGGCAAAUUUGAAAUUAAAAUCCCUUCCAACAUUAUUGAAAAGAAGAAUACCACUAAAAUAAGAGCUGUUGGUAGCUGUCUCUUCAAUGUACGAAAUAAAAGAGGACAAAAAAAAUAUCAUAUCAAAGCCCUUUGGUUUUGGUCGGUUAAUUACCAUUGCGGAUUUGAACCCCCGGUUAGUUUAACAAGGAUUCGGUUUUGAAAUGAGAAAAGAACCUUAAAAAAUGGAAGGAUCUUCGUUUUGAUUCAUCUAUAAGCUAGAUAAAAACAAAAUGGAUGAUGACUUAAUGAAAUGUUAUCUUGCCAGAUGAAUAACAGGUACUCAUAUUAUUAGACAGUCAAUUUGAGAUAUCGAUGGAAUGAGCUCUAUUUGAAUGUGUGGUGCUAGAUGGAAAAUUUGACAGCAUAUGUAACACCAACAAUAUCGAUUAGAUGUGCUCCUUUUGAUUUCUCAAUUAAAUGUAUUUGCUUUUACAUGAUAUGGCAGGAGCUCACACAAUUGGACAAGCAAGGUGUACAACUUUCAGAGCUCGCGUAUACAACGAGACCAACAUUGAUGCUUCAUUUGCCAGGACCAGACAAAACACAUGUCCAAGAACAGUUGGCUCCGGAGACAACAACCUUGCACCUUUAGACGUUACGACCCCAAAUACCUUCGACACUGCCUACUUCAAGAACCUUGUCAACCGAAAGGGUCUCCUCCACAGUGAUCAAAUUUUGUUUAACGGCGGAGCCACCGAUUCAUUGGUUAAAUCCUACAGCGGCAAUGCUGAAACCUUCAAUGCUGACUUUGCCAAGGCAAUGAUCAAGAUGGGAGAUAACAAGCCACUUACUGGAUCUAAGGGCGAGAUUAGAUUGAACUGCAGGAAGCCUAAUUAAUUUAGAAAAGGACCUUUCUCUCUGAUAAGAAUAAACCAAAAAUCCCAGAAGCUGGGAGAAAUAUAAUUUUGGGUUAUAUAUAGUUUGUUUUGCUAAUGAAGGUUUUGUUUGUUAAGUGAGGGUUUAUUAGGUAUUUUGUUAUUAUUUCAACAAGUAAAGUAUGUUUUAGUUUCAAAGAAUUGAAAUUAUAGGCGUUGAAAUACCAAUUAUUAAUUGUUGAUGGAUUGUUUACUUUCAAUUGAACAAAGUGAAUGGUGAUGAUCAAUCAAUUUCCAAUUUCCAAUUUCCUGGUGUUUUUUUAUGAUGAAAUCGUCAAUCUAAUAUCUUAAAGUCACAAGCAUUUGUUGCUACAAACAUUACAAUAUAGUGGUAUCUCUACACUCUCAACAGUAAAUUUCGGAUUCACCUUUUGUAAAUACCGAAUUUACUAGCUCAUUGACUUUGCUCAAAUCCAAAUAAAAUUACACCAAUUUGGCCCAACUUUACAGGGCCUCAUUUCAUUAUUGCUUGGCAUGCCAAAGCCCACUAGAUAUGUGGUGACCUGGUUUGGCAACUGCAACUCUGUAUGUUGUACCAAACGUUAUAAUUUUUUAAGUAUACGAGAUACCGCCACUUCGUAUUAUCCCUUCACUUAUAUUAUAACAUAUAUGUUUGAUUUUUAUUAAUAAAAGGGAACACAUAAUUUUAUUUUUCAAAAAACAUAAGUAGAAUAAACAUUGUAGAAUUUGAGUUUAUUUUAGAAGCUGCUCUUUAAGGCUUCAAGCUCCAACAAAAGUUUCCUUAAUGUCAUUUUAUUUACAUACUCGAUCACUGGAGAUGUUUCUUCCCAUGUUCCUCGUAAUGGGAAACAAUGUAGCUCAUUGCCUUAUGUUUGUAUCAUACUUAGGACAUCCGUAUUUAGAUCUCGUAUAAAUACUCAGGGGACUCAAAUGUAAUUAUGUAAUAAAGGAAGGGGCAAAUAUGUAAUAAGUGAGGAGCCCUUAUUCUAUAAAAGGACUCCUCACCCUCACAAUAGGGGGAGGCCAUUUCUUAAGCCUUCUCAUCCCUCUCACAUCCCCUCUCAUAUUCAGAGGUUUUCUCCCUCACCUUUCACAUAAAUACAACAUCAGUGUGGACGUAGCCCAAACCUUGGGGUAAACCACGAUACAUCUUGUGUUAUUUACAUUUCUUGCAGAUUCAUAGUCGGAUUUACGUUGUUCCAAGACCUCCGGUUUUGUGCAUCAACAUUUGGCGCCGUCUGUGGGAAUCGAUACAAAAAGUUGUGUCGAUUCUUUUUCAUUUUUUCACCUCCAUCGUGAAUAUGCAGAAACCCCCACCAAAACACAGCAUAGCUCAGCAGGCUGCUACAAAAUGAGAUUGCCCAAAAUGAUCUCCUCCGUCACCUCCUCCUCGUCCUGCCAGACGACGACGUGUCGCACUCCUCUCCAACCAAUCGUUAAUACCAUCACCAUCACCCAGAGGAAUUUCAUCUCCCUUACCAAAUCAUCAUCAUUUCCCCUCAAACAUUCAAUCUCCAUGAACAAGCAAUAUCUUUCUACCAUUUCUAACUCCAUAUUAGACAACGGAACAUCCCUUGAUCCUCCAAAUCCAGACAAAGAUCGCUCAGAAUUCUGACGUGAGCAACCUUUUUGCCUCGUCGCCUUCGUCUUCUCUGGAAACUACAUCUGGGUUCAGAUUCUCUUCCAGCACCCCAAAAUUGAUCAGGCCGAGCUCGUCUAGCACCGUUAUCUCACUGACCACACCUCGAGAUGCGGCCACCAUGUCCUCUGUUUCGAGGAGCCUCCUUGUCGACAAUCAACGACUGGCAGCAGCCCACGUCAAUUUCAAGCAGAAGAAAGCAGAAGCUUCUGCUUCUUAGAGUAACAAAACGACGCUGCUUGCCUCCGUGUUUCCCAUCACCGAACAAAAUGUCCCAAGAUAUCUACUCUGAGCGCCCCUUGUUCGGUGAUGUCAUCACUAGCACAUUCUUUCUCAGAUUCGAGGAUGUGAGUAACAUUCGACAAGUUCCCGAUCACCAGGAGACUUUUGUGGACCCUACCGGGGAUGAAAGCUUGACCUUUGAGCUUUUGGAAUUGAAGCAUGCAGUCGGCGACAAUGGAAGUGCCAACUGGUUUCUUCAGGACAUUGCCACUGAGCAAGAUGCUGACGGAAGCAUGGUGAUCGAGCAGUCUGGCGUAAUUAAGGCCCCCAGAUUGUGUUAUAGAAACACACAUGCUGUUGUUACGACUAUUGUUGGCCAAAUGGAGGCUCUAGCGCGAGCGCCGAACUGAUGUCGGCUCAGAAGCCGCCGCUGACUGCCGAUAACUGAAAGCGGGAAGGGAGGAGAUUCUCAGACUAAGAAAGCAGCAGCAGCAAUGUGUGUUGGAAUAGGAAGCUUAUGCGAUCCUUUUGGAGCAUAGGGGCUUGCGCAUUUUCUAAAACACAUGCUCUUCAUGGGGAGUACAGAGUUUCCAGAUGAUAAUGCGUAUGAAAAUUACUUGUCCAAGCAUGGAGGUUCAUCAAAUGCAUACACAGAAGCAGAGCAUACCUGGUACCAUUUUGAAGUGAAGCCAGAGUUUCUUAUGGGUGCCUUGAGAAGAUUUUCCCAGUUCUUUGUUUCACCUCUAGUGAAAAUUAAAGCGAUGGAGCGAGAGGUACAUGCUAUAGAUUCAGUUAUGCACAAUACUAACAACACCCUAGUAUUGGGCAAUACCAGCAAAGCCCCAGCGUGGGACAAUGUCAGACAAAUUCAGAUGCUUUUUCAAAAUACCAUAGUGGAUUCUCCCAUGGGAAGUGAUUGGAAAAGCAUUAAAGAGAAGAAGAUAUAUAUAUAUUAUCUCCACUGCAAUUAUCUGCUGCAACUAUGCAAAGCUUGCAUGUGCCCAUAUUCGAACAACAUGCCAUUAUAUGCCGUACAGGCAGGCAGGUGGGACCAACUUGUAUUCAAACAGCAGAAAAAAGAAAAAGGAGGAGGCAUAUAUACCAAAGCUGCUUAUGUCGGUGCAGAUCUUGUCGGCAAGGUUGAAAGAAAUAUUCCUGAGGAUGACCCAAGAAACCCAGCUGUGAUAGCUGAUAAUUGCCUGCGCACUUCCUCAACCAAUACGGAAACGUUGUCUGCCAUUUUCCAAAAGGGAAAAGAGAAAGCAAAAACAAGGAAUAAACACCCCACCAAAAUGAUGUGAUUUACUUUUCUUGUUUUUGUAUGAUGAGAUUUAUUUUUUUUAUUCGGAGACAUCUAUAUAAACCCCAUCAGAAGGUAAUAAUAAAAAUAAAAAUAAAAAUAAAACAAAACAGCAAGCUCAAAAUAAAGGGGCUGAAAUGUUGUGUGGAGAGCGAAGGCCCAUAAGCCCAAAAUAGCACCAACCAGGCUACCAAAAGUACGCCCAGUACUACAAAAAUUAUUCAGCACCCCGUCGCUAUUAUCACCAACCAGGUGAUCAAAAGUAAGCCCAGUACUUCAAAUUAUACAUGAGCAUUACUCAUGUCAAUCAUACAUAAACAUUCAUGAGCAUUACUCAUGUCAAUCAUAAACAUUCAUGAGCAUCACUUAUAUCAAUCAUACAUAAACAUUCAUGAGCAUCACUCAUGUCAACAUCCAUGAGCAUCACUCAUGUCAAUCAACAUAAACAUUCAUGAGCAUUACUCAUGUCAAUCAGCUUCAAAAGCUUCAUUUACAAAAGCUCUAGCUUUAAAAGCUUCAUUUACAGAGCUCUAGCUUCAAAAACUUCAUUUACAAAAGCUCUAGCUUCAAAAGUUUCAUUUACAGAGCUCUAGCUUCAAAAGCUUCAUUUACAAAAGCUCUAGCUUCAAAAGCUUUAUUUAUAGAGCUCUAGCUUCAAAAGUUACAAAAGCUCUAGCUUCAAAAGCUUCAUUUACAGAGCUCUAGCUUCAAAAGCUUCAGUUACAAAAGCUCUAGCUUCAAAAGCUUCAUUUACAGAGCUACAGCUUCAAAGCUUCAUUUACAAAAGCUCUAACUUUAAAAGCCUCAUUUACAGAGCUACAGCUUCAAAAGUUUCAUGUACAAAAGCUCUAGCUUCAAAAGCUUCAUUUACAGAGCUCUAGCUUUAAAAGUUUCACUUGUAAAGCUUCACCUACAAAGCCUCAGUGCAGGGUAUACAAAUACCGAAUCCGAACAACCGCCACUUCGGCCUAUACAUGGAUUCAAUUUGAAGUCUUCAGCCAACAGACUCUAUUGACCGAAGACUUGGAGGACUACAUUAUGUACCUUAUAUAUUGGGCCUCAACUGGGCCUCAUGGAAAAUACUUGGGGGACUCUAGCCCAUCACUUAUGUAUUGAGGAGCGAGCACUUAUUCUAUAAAAUAGACUCCCUCACUUUCAUUAGAGAGCAUCCAUUAGUCAUGUACUGAGGAGCGAGCCCUUAUUCUAUAAAAGGGACUCCCACACCAUCAUUAGAGAGCAUCAACUCUAGCCCAUCAUUCAUGUAUUGAGGAUCGAGCUCUUAUUCUAUAAAAAGGACUCCCUCACCUUCACUGCCACAAGCCGAGCCAACCAAGGCAACAUAAGCCACGAGCCGAGCAGCCUCGCAGCAUGUGCUCUUUCUAGUUGAGCAUCAUUACAGAUCGGGCACCGCCGCAUACCGAGCAUUAGUUCAAGACGACAUCUAGUUACUUCGGCCCACACAUGGACUGAAUUUCAAGUCUUCAGCCAAAAGACUAGUUACUUCGGCCCACAUAUAGACUGAAUUUCAAGUCUCCAGCCAAAAGACUUUCUUGACUGAAGACUUGGGGGACUACUGUUUGUACCAUACAUAAGGCCUCCGUAUUUAGAUCUCGUAUAAAUACUCGGAGGACUCAAAUGUAAUUAUGUAAUAAAGGAGGAGGCAAAUAUGUAAUAAGUGAGGAUCCCUUAUUCUAUAAAAGGACUCCUCACCCUCACAAUAGGGGGAGGCCAUUUCUUAAGCCUUCUUAUCCUCUCACAUCCCCUCUCAUAUUCAGAGGUUAUCUCCCUUACCUCUCAGAUAAAUACAACAUCAGUGUGGACGUAGCCCAAACCUUAGGGUGAACCACGAUACAUCUUGUGUUAUUUACAUUUCUUGCAGAUUCACGGUCGGAUUUAUGUUGUUCCAAGACCUCUGAUUUUGUGCAUCAACACCUUACUAAACUGGCCAUUUACUCUUGUGGAGUUUGUACUUGGUUUAAAGAACCUUCUGAUGUUAACAGUAGCGGAUUUAGAAAUUCUUUCAUGGGUGGUGAAAUAUUAAACAUUAUAAGUUAUUUUAGACAACAAAGCUUUAUUGGAACUUUGAAAUUUGGGGUUUAGGUUGAACGAUACAAGUAUGCAUGAUGUAGUAUUUUUCACUAAGUUGUCAUGUUGGUGGGUGAGUCUUAGCAAUGCUGGCACUAGAAAAAUUGGGAGAGGAAGUUGUGAUGGAGAAAUUUAAGUGACGAAGUGGUUGAAUUUGUGUACACAACAUUGUUCAGGUUUUCUUGUCAAAUUACGACACUAAUUACACAUAACAAUCUCAACGUUUCUUGACAAAAUACAAUUUAGAUAUAACCAUUCUUUUAUAAAUCCUCUUCCAAAUAUCAUCAACAAAGGACAGAUUAUAUUAUAUUCAAUAGAAUAGAGAAGAUAAAUUUCACAUAAAACAAAAAGGAAGGAGAGAAAAUUGCAUUUUUAAUCGAAGUUUAUGUCGAGUCUUUGACUAGGCCUUGGUUGAAGAUGGCUUCCUCUUCAGAAAUUACAAAAGCUACUUGUGAAUAAACCUGAAAAUAUGGCCUCAUCUUCCAUCCCUACACUACAUACUUGUUUUAUGUGGGCAUUCACACCUAUUUCACAACAGCAUUGAAGGUUCAUGUGUUUAAAAGAAAAAGAAGGAAAAAAAAAAAAAGUGACCAAAACGAGCUAUUUUGGUCUAGGUUUUAAAAACCAGAACACGAGGCUUUCUUCUUCCUUGGCUGAAGCAUGCAAUGCUGCCAUGGGCAGCCCCCUUGCCGCCAUGCCUUCCCCAGCUGUUAGGUGGGCAAAAUUCGGGCAGUAGGGAGAAAUUUUGAGGUAUGGGUGGGCAGCUUCCUACCCUUGCCAUACCAUGGAUCCGCCACUGGAUGAGAUGUCAUUAGGCCAUCUCUAACCGAAGGGUCCAAAGGGCCAGAGGGCCAAAAAUAGCCCUAAAACCGUCUCCAACCGAGGGCUAGGCCAGAGGGCUCUGGAAUCUGGGAGGGCCCCACGGGAUCAGAGAGGGCUGGAGGGCUGGCUGCUUUCGGCCAGCCAGCUAGCCCCGGGCUGGCUAUUUUUUUUUUAUAGUUUUGUUAUUCCUGUCGGUUAUAACCGACAAUAAUACAUACUAUUAUUUAAUAUACUAAAUAAUGGUGUAUUCCUGUCGGUUAUAAUCGACAAGAUUGUUUUAAAAAAAAAUCAAAUGAAACGGCUACUAGCCGUUGCAUUUGAUUUAAUUUUUUUUUUACAUUAUUAUUAUUUUUUUUUAUUUACAAAAUUUUUCAUAUAACUUCUAUUUUUUCCUAUAACUUCUAUUUCACAAAAUUUGGUUUUUUUUUAAAUUCCAUUUUUUUCCUAUAACUUCUAUUUCACAAAAUUUGUUUCAUAUUUUUUUUUCCCUAUAACUUCUAUUUCACAAAAUUUAUUUCAUAUAUUUUUUUUUAAAUUCCAUUUUUUUCCUAUAACUUCUAUUUCACAAAAUUUACUUCAUAUUGUUUUUUAAAUUCCAUUUUUUUCCUAUAACUUCUAUUUCACAAAAUUUGUUUCAUAUUUUUUUUUAAAUUCCAUUUUUUUUUCCUAUAACUUCUAUUUGACAAAAUUUGUUUCAUAUUUUUUUUAAAUUCUAUUUUUUUCCUAUAACUUCCUAAGCCAUUAUACAACAUUAAAUUAAAUUAAGUAACAUGAAACAACAUUAAACAAUAUGAAACAACAUUAAAUAAAAUUAACCAACAUAAAAAUUAAACAACAUGAAACUUAAACAACAUUUUAGUUGUAGUUUUUAAAUAAUAAAUUAUGUUUGGCCCUAUGGCCCUUUGGCCCUCGGUUGGAGACCGUUUUUUGUGAUAGGGCUAAAACGAGCCCUCUGGCCCUCUGGCCCUCGAUUGGAGAUGGAGGCAAAUAUGGUCAUGUACUGUUCAUUAAAAUAUUAAUAUCUUGGAGAAUCUUGGAGGGCUAGAGGGCUAAAACGAGCCAUCUGGCCAGCCCUCGGUUAGAGAUGGCCUUAGUGAUUUGUUGUUAAGAAGUGAUUCCUUUGUUGUAAUUUGUUGCCGUUUUUUGCUUUGAAAUGAAAUAAUGCCACCUUUGAUUGAAAAGAAAGUAGGGACAUCUGUGAAAUGUGAUUAGUAUUUUUGUUUAAUGUCAAAAUGGUCCUGUGUUUUAUCGUGUUGGCCCAUUUAAAAUAUUUAAGAAAAAUAAAAAAACUGUACAAAAUAUUAGGGUGAGACUGAGACCCAUUCUUUCCUCCCCAGCCGUCUCCCCCACCUCCUCCCCCACCUCCUCCCCCACCAAACCCUAAUUCUUUUUACAUAAAGAUGAAUAAAUGGGAAUAAUUGAGGACAAACGAUGAGACUCGCGCAUCGCUAGUAUGGUCUACAGAAGGGGUGGCGGUCGGGUGUGUAUGGCAGUUGGCGUGUCGUUGAGAGUCAAGGAGGGAGGGGGAUGACAUUGUCGGUUUAAUCAAUUUUGUUCAAGUUCAUUUCUUUUUCCUUUAAUCUUAUUUUUCAUUUCUAAAUUAUAUUUCUUUAUUUUUAACUUAUUUCUUUAAUAAUUAAAAAAAACAUUUAUGAUUAUAAAAAAAACAUGCAUAAUUUUUUAAACUAUGAAUGGUUGUAAUGUCCUGAAUUAGCUAAUGGAGGUAAAGACGAGAAUCAAAUUGACCACAACGAAAAUACGGGACUAAAUUGAUCAAAUGACUAGAACAUAGAGACUAUUUUAACAUUUAAUCCUAGUUUGUUUUUUAUGUACUUGUUGAUUCUAUUGGUCGAUUAGCCCAUGUGAAAGCUUUAUUAGCAUAAACUGCAUGUUUCAAACUGCCCACAUGUCUUGAGGAAGAAAUUGUGAAUGCACGUGGGCUUAGUAACUUCUGCAACAUGGUUUCUUAUCAAAUUUUGUGUGAUUAAAAUAUUUAGUAGCUCCUGAUCUCAUUUUUAACUUAUUUGUAUCGGAUCAGGAUCCUCUCCUGAGCUAAGGAUGAGGAUCCUUCUGACCAAGGCGUGUGGGCCGUUGGAUGAAAAUCUAACGGCUAUAAUUAUUAUAACUUUAAAGGAACCUUCCUGUUUGUAGCCGUUGGAUUUUCAUCCAACGGCUCACACUCCUUGGUCAGAAUAAUCCUCAUCCUUAGCUCAGGAGAGGAUCCUGAUCCAUUUGUAUCUAGGAACCUCACAAAAGAUCGAUGUUCACAUCCAACUAAUUAGAAGUAGUCAAAGCUAUAUAAAUGCCGCAUUUUAAUCAGCACAAUUAUUUAUUCUGUCGCUGUUGAAGGAAAUGUGAAUGUGAUUAUUUUAUUAAUUGGUACUGUAGUUGCUUAAAUUAAUUAGCUUGAACAUAUAUAGUUGCCCUCUUGUUGGGGAAAAAGAAGUAACAAUUUGAUGAUCAUGUCCAUAAUUUCAUAUAUUGAUCGAUGCGAGUAGGAUUGUAAAUGAGUUGAGUCAGUUUAAAUUUGGUUUGUUUAAUUUUAUUUUGAGCUUCACCUAAACUUGGCUUGCUUUUUAAUUAUAUGAGCAGAGCUCAAACGAGCUUGAAAAAUUCAAGCUCGAUGCACAAACUCAAGUUGUUUUGAGUAUAUGCUAUAAUGUUUGGUCCGCUUUUAAAACAAAAAUUUGUAAGUAGAUUUCGUGCUAGAGUAUAUUCAACAUAAACAAUAUAAUAACACAAAUCUUCAAACAUAAUACUUUAAAUAAUCACAUAAACGUUCUUUUCCUUUUUAUGAUUGAAAGGCUAGGGGAGUUUAUGCAUACGCAUGAAUUAGGUUAUGUAGAAACAAAAGAAAAUAGGCUACAUUAUAUCAUUCUCCAUCUGAUAAAAAUUCAAAUGCGAAGAUAGUCAAUCUAAACUUUGAAAAAAAACGUAAACAUGAUUCUUUAAAAGAAAAAUCACAAGCACGAUCUUUUUGUUCUAAGCAAACUUCUUCGAUAGAAUCUAGUUCGAUUUGCCUUAGAAAAAAGAUGAUGAACUGCUCACAAAUUUUACAAGCCAAAUAUACCAAUGUUCAAACCCUUUUUUUUUUUAACAAAUAAUAUUAUCUACACUAAGGAAGGGGGUGGGCUUAGCCUCAUAAUGAGCUAGCAAUAACGUGAUUUAAAUUCGUAUUUUGAGAGAAUCAAACCUAAGACCUUUCACUUACAAGUGAGGAGGAGUACCACUAGACCGUAGUACUACGUGGCACCAAUGUUCAAACUUGAUUUAAUUGUUUCUUACUGGAGCUGCAUUUAGACUUGAUUUAUUCAUAAACCAAGUUUCGACGAGUCAAACACAUGCCGAAUUAUUACAAACUCAAGGUAUUUUGAGCCGAUUAACUGCCCUAGCAAUGCAACCUAUGAAUGAGAAUCUAAAUUCGAUCAAAACUCUCUAGAUUUCUGCCAAUAUUGUUGAAUCUCUAAUAUUGUGUCUUUUCCCAUAUUUAAUUUUUAAUUUGUUUGCAUAUUAUAAUACAUGUUUUGAUGCCUCUCCCACAUGAUCAGUUUAAGUUCCACACGCCAAGGAAACUUCAAUUCUUAAUAUAUGUACAACGUGUAGGCAUUAUCAUAAUUUUAUUGGUAUGCAUCACCCAAAUCUUAUUUAAGGGAAAGGGACAUCAUAUCUCUCUUUUAUUUCUUAUUGUUUGAGGCUGACCAGAACACUCCGAGGCAUGUCAAUACCUCCAUAAUGUUACAAAAGUGGUCUGCAGCAUGCCACAGAUGUAAACCUUGAAUGAGUAUAAAUUUGUGUCGUAGAAAGCAAUGGGAAGCUUUAGACGAAUAUCAAGGAAGAAAAUAUAAAGAGUACAUAUCAUGUAAAUUUGGGUUUUGUCGGUCAAGUAUCAAACUUAAUUUACAUGGGGAUUCAAAAGCCCUAAAUACCUUUUGCCUCCCUCGAAUAACAUGUUAGGUUUCAGGUUCAUCUUUCACUGGCACAGACUAACAUGCCUAUGCUAUUUACUAUGUAGACCUUGCUAGCUAAUUAAGGUUAAAGUCAAAGCCCGCGUAUUCCCCACACGUGCAAUAGACAACUUCUUCCAGAUUGUCUGCGCCUGCCAACCCUACUGGGAAAUACAUAACUACCAAACCCCCAUUACAAUUCUAAUACUUCUGGUUGUCUAGUUUCAGAUAUUGCUACUGCAUUUUAGAUUUCACAAUCUGUUGUACCGGUUCUUCCAAAAGAGAAAGCAUAUUGGUCCGGUCAUGCACGGAGCUUUUACAGAAACCCUAAUUGACAUUGGCCAAGUUCAGAUAGAACAGAAUACGUGUAUGUAUAUAUACACACACACACACACAUAUAUAUAUGAGUAUAUUGAAUGAGGCUAAAUAUUUAGAGGCAAAAAACCCUAGUGAAAAACAAACCUUGUUAAUUAAGGCAUAUUGAAAGAGGUAAAUUAGAAAACUUGGGAGUACUACUCACAACAGGUUGGGGAUUGGAGUAAUCUGUUACCCCUUUUUGUAAUUAGACAGCAAGUUUGUUUUUUUUAAUUAACUUUUUUUGUAAUUUUCAUGUGUGACUUCUCAAUCGUAAAGAAAGGGAUAAAGCAAAAUUUAUACUGAUCUAUCAAACAUGAUAAUUCCUACGAAGCAAUAGAAAUCAAACAGAGAAAAAGGGACUAAUUGAUUAGCAGUAACACUUUAUAUCGCUUUAAUCGAAAUACGGAAUAUUUUCGCUUGACAUGGAGCUAUAGCCCAUCGUGUUUGUAGAUGGAUUGUAUACAGAAGAAGCUGAAGAUGAAGAUGACGAAGAAAAGACAACUGAAGACUGAGCUGAUGCUGGUGGUAGUGGCGGCGGCGGUGGUGGUGAAAUCGCUUGUGGUUGCGCAGCAAGGGACACCAUCCCAGAACUAGAAACCAAAGCAGAAUGGUGAAUAAUACCCCUAGGAGAAACGACACUGCGACUAGCGGCCUCUUUGUAUUUAUAUCUCAAUAUUUCGGUCCUUACUGCAUUGAGUUCAGCUUGUAGAGAUUGAAUUUGUUGGUGCAAGGCUAAAAUUACACCCAUGCACCCAUACACAGGGUCUCUCAGCCUCAGAUUUGCCUCAUAAACUAGACUAUUGGCUGCAUCAGCUCUUUGAUUCUCAGCCACCUCCUAUAAAUACAUAAAAAAAAUAAAACAAAAAUGAAGUAAUGCAUAGUAACAUUAGAAUGCUUGUUCCUAAGAAAUUUAAUAGUACCAUUAGCAUCUUGGAAACAUUGCUUGCACCAAAGACUUUGUGGACGGCUGAAAACUUUUGGGGUUCAUGCGGAGAGAAGUAGGGAGAGAAAGGGCACUCUUCAGCACAUCUUCUUCUCAAGAGCUUACAUGCAGCACAAGGUGUGAUUGUGUUCAAAGUUGUUGUACUCAUCAUCAUCAUCCCUUGAUGAGGAACACCAAAUGAUGAUGACGAUGAUGACGAAAUUCGAGUAGUGCUCAUGAUCCCCAUUUGAUCAUCAACAGAUGCAUCACUUUCUCUCCUGAUCUUCUUUCCUGUCUCAUCCAAUGUUGUGAUCUCCCUAUAAAACAACAAGAAAAUUAGUUAGGUGAAAUCCAUUUAAGGAUUUGAAAAGUAAAAAGGAACAACAAAAAUAAAAAGAAUAUUUUUAAGUACCUGUUUGUGGACAUAUAUUCAGCUACUGUCUGGAUGAAGUUGGGAACAAAGAAAGGAGAAGGAGAAGGAGAAAGAAAAUAAAGUUUGAGAAUGGGGGAAGAUAGUGCUUAUAAGCCAAGGCAAGUUGGGAAGUACAGUAUGUCAAUGUUUAAUCGUAAGAAAUCAACAAAAGGCCGCUAUGAGAAAAAUGGCCGAAGAAAUCUGAUAUUAUAUUCUCCGGGUCGGUGAUAUGAUAGCAUCCAAAGGGUUUGGUAAUGAUUUUAUUUUAUUUUUCCUCUAUUGUCGUAAGAGUAAGGGCCUGUAUGAGAUUGUUGUGCUUUUUUAAAAACUACUUCUGCCAUGCUUUAAGAAUUAUCAGUUGUAAAAUAAAACUGAUAAGCGUUUGGUUAACUAAAGUUUAAAAGUGAUGUGAGUAUGAAAAGCAGCACAAAAACGUUUGGUAAAAUUUAAUGUAAAAGUGAUAUAAUUGUAUACAAUGAUAGAUGGACAUAGUAGUAACAGUGGGGGUGUUGACAUCUAUGGUGGUGGUGGUUACGGUGGAGGUGGUCGUGGUGCUAAUAGUGUGAUGUGUUGGUUGGGGUGGAAAGGUAACAAUGAUGGUAUGGCGGUAACAGUGGUGGUGGUGGUGGUUAUGGUGGUAUCGGCGGUGGAGCAAUGAUGCUGGUAAUGAUAGUUAUGGUUGUGAUGGCAAUGGUAGCGGUUGCGGUAAUGGUGGUGGUAGUGGCGAUGGUGGCAUCGAUAGUGAUAGUAGGGGCGGUGGCAAUGGUGGCAGUGGCGGUAGUGAUGGUGGUGACAAUGAUGGUAGCGAAAAAUUUUGUAUUUGGGUUGCAUAAGUGUUCAGCGAGAAAAAUAUUUCUCGCAGACGGCCCAAGUUUGUGAAACUUAAUAUCUUUCUAAGUGUUAUAAGAAGUAAGAACAAUAUAGUGUUAUAAGGAUGAUCGAAUGCAUUCAUCGUACUCUUAUAUGGUUGAGGAGUGUGUUUGUAAAAAUCAAGGUUCUAAAAAACGCUAGGCGCUAGUCGGGCGGCCGGCUGGUGCCUAGCGCCUAGGCAGCUAGGCGGGGUCUAGGCGAGCACCUAGGUGGCCUAGGCGGAUUUAGGUAAAUUUCUUGUAUAUCUUGUAAAUAAGUGCAUAUUAACAUUUACAAAAAAUAUUCUUGUAUAUCUUGGAAUAAAUAUAUUAUAUACCAUAUAAAUUAGUUAAAUUUAUUUUAUGGUAGAUGAUUAAAUAUUGAGGAAGACAUUAUUUAAAAAAUAUAUACAUAUCUAACAUAAGAGUAUAAUAUAAGCUGAUCUUAUUUUGAUCAUAAAAAGAAAAAUAAUAAAAUAAUAUAAUGCAAGAGUGUAAUAUAGACUUUAAAGAGAUAAAGAUGUCAAAUAUGUGGGUGUAGAAUGCAAAGUGGGAUAUUGGACACAUAGAGAUGGGGAGCUACACCAAUACUUAAUAGCAAAAGUACACCCAGGGACUCACAUCCCAUGUUUUUUUAUGAGAACAAUAAAUAGCUAGGUAUUGACGGCUCAUUUUUUUUUCUUGAAAACAUCAUCUUGAUGCUAGCUAUCCAAAUGUGAUUGGACAAAAUUAAAAAAUUAAUUAAAUAGAAAACUUUGAUAGUGGUCACGUGAAUGAAAGGAAGAGAGAAACUUAAUUUCUCAUCUUCUUCCAUUUUCGUCUUCGCAAGAACACAGAACCAGCAACCCAGAAAGUUUAGAACGCACUGCAUUCAUCCUUUCUCAAGCUUGAAAAUAGAAAAAAAUUGAGAUUCCAGACCGCCUAGGCCAACCAGUCAGUCGCCUAGGCCGCCCAAGGGGCACCCAGGCUGCCUUGACGCCCGCCUAAUCCCUUUGCCGAUUUUCCUUCCGAUCAAGAGUUAAUCUCGGCGGCUGACCACCGCCCAGCGCCUAGGCCGAUUUUUAGAACACUGGUAAAAACUCAUCAAAAUCGGAGUUAAAAUAACCGUUAAAUCAUGAGUUUUCAUUUAUAAUCGUCGAAAGGUUUCGUCCCGUUACCUAAUAUCUGAAUGUCAGUUUUUUGCGAUUUUUUGCAUAUGCGAUCUUGGAGCAUAUGCAAACAAGUUUGACAAUUGGAUCGUUGAAACUAGUUUUGUAGAAUGUGUAUUCCGUCAAAACGAUAGAUUCAACAAACACUUGGAGUUUAUUUUAUACUUCCAUUAAAUAGAACAUAAUAUUUUGUGGUAUCCAUCAAUGCAAAUAUUUUAAAUUAAAGAUCAAAUUUGUUCAUAGUAUUCUUAUAUGGUUGAGGAGUGUAUUUGUAAAAAAUCAUCAAAAUCGGAGUUAAAAUAACCGUUAAAUCGUGAGUUUUCUUUUAUAACCGUCGAAUAGUUUCGUCCCGUUACGUAAUAUCUAAAUGUCAUUUUUUUGUGAUUUUUUACGUAUGCAAUAUUGUAGCAUAUACAAACAAGUUUGACGGUUGGAUCGUUGAAAUUAGUUUUGUAGAAUGUGUAUUCCGUCAAAACGAUAGAUUCAACAAACACUUGGAGUUUAUUUUAUACUUCCAUUAAGUAAGACAUAAUAUUUUGUGGUAUCCAUUAGUGCAAAUAUUUUAAAUUGAAGAUCAAAUUUGUUCAUCGUAUUCUUUUAUGGUCGAGGAAUGUAUUUGUAAAAAAUCAUCAAAAUCAUAGUUAAAAUUACCGUUAAAUCAUGAGGUUUCGUUUAUAACUGUCAAAAGGUUUCAUCCUGUUACCUAAUAUAUGAAAAUCAGUUUUUUGCAAUUUUUUACAUAUGCAAUCUUGGAGCAUAUACAAAUAUGUUUGAUAGUUUGAUCGUUGAAACUAGUUUUGUAGAAUGUGUAUUCCUUCAAAACGAUAGAUUCAGCAAACAUUUGGAGUCACACCUACAGUGAGGACAAUGGAUUCUUGUUGUAGCAUUCCCGCUAUAAUUUCCCAAAAGUUUCAAAUAGGGCGCCUUUUAUUCACACCUACAAGGAGAAAUGUUGUAUUUGGGUCGCAUAAGUGUUCAGCGAGAAAAAUAUUUCUCGCAAAAGGCCCAAGUUUGUAAAACUCAAUACUUUUCUCUUUGUUAUACGGAGUCGUUUAUGGAGUGGGUAGAAAAAGGAGGCGGCCUGAAGAAGGUGGAGAAGAGAAUAGGGGAAAAGAAAAAGAGGUAGAAGGAAGGAUAACGAGGAGAGAAAAGUAUACUCGGUUUUUUAGAGAGGUCGAAGGAAGUAUAGAAGACUGCAUUUGAAGAGGCAAAGUGAAUCAUAACAAAAGUACGGUUCCACUCAGUAGGUUAUCAUUCCCUUACUCUUUCUCCCUCCAAUUUCAUAUCUUUCUUUGAUGCUAAUCAUGAAAUCAGAAUUACCCGCAUCACAAUUUCACAUUUUUACUUGGUUAUGGAUGUGGGUUUUCAUUGUUCUACUGUAGUCUAUGAUCUAUCCACAGUGAAGUUAAUUAGUAUCCCCUGUAAUUUGAAUUAGGUAAAACUUGAUUGUUACUUGUUAAUGGUUUGUGGGUUCUCAAUGUCUUAUUGUGAAGUUAGAUUUCAUAUGGGAAUAUGAUUCUCUGAUUGCUCUGUAAUCUGAAUUGGGUAAAUCAUAAUUUUGUUUUAGUAAUUGUUAUUGAUUUCUAAAGAGGUCGCACUUGGUGCGAUGACAAGUGUCUUCGCCCAUGAGCGGUAGGUCUCGGGUUCGAGACUUGGGAGCAGCCUCUCCAUAAAUGGGGGUAAGGCUAGUCGACAUUCACCUCGUCUAGACCCUGCGUAAAGCGAGAGCCUUGUGCACUGGGUACGACCUUUUUUGUGAGUAUAAUUGAAAUCAAAUUAUAGACAUGAUUUUGGGAUUGUAUGGAAGAAUUAUGAAGUUAUAAUUACAAGAGUUUGGGUUCUAAGUUGCAGGGAACUUAUGUUUUAUGCGAAGAAAAACUAUGUUUCAAGUAGCCUACUUUGGCUCUUGAUUUCUAUGUCCUUAUGCAUUCAUUUUGAUCCAUUAUCAUAUGUUUUGAAACUAGACAUGUCCAUGAUCAAAGACUAUCUGAUUUCACAUAAUUCCAUUGAGUUUUGAUAUGUCAAAACCAUGUACAAACUUGAGUCACGAAGCUGCCAGACAGCAGCAAAUAUUGGGUUUCCGAUUUCGGGACUCUAUUUUGUAUCUUGCAUAACCUUCAACUUAUAACCCUGUUUCCUACAAAUCGUAGAUGCUUUUAAUGUACUCAAAACAAGCUUAGAAUCUCAUGUUUGUUUGCAUCAUUUGGUAUAGUUAUGGGUGUUCAAAAUCGGGCUUAAUAUUGGUUGGCUAAAACUGUUUUUUUGGGGCUUUUGUGGAGAUAAGGUUGCUGCUUUUGCAAUAUUCAUUCUUCUCACAAUUUUUUUUCUAAUUUACUUAUCUAUAUUAAGUUUGUGUUUAAACCACUUAACCUACACAAAAAUUGCCCAUUUCUUUAAAGUCAUGAAUUGAUGCAUCUUUCCAUCACAAAAUGCUUAUGUAGGCAGAUUAAAUGAAAGUUACCAUACGUGUUGUGCCUUUUAAGUCCAAAAGUGAGACAUAUACUUUAACCAUUUCUAUUUGAAUUGUGUUAUUAACUUAUAUCUUUUCAGUUGGCAGCAGAGAGAACUAUCAUUUCUAUUUGGAAGGCAUUGAGAAACUGUAUACCAUCUGCUUUAUCUCCUCUUAGGUAAGUUGCUUGACUUCUAAUUUUAUUGUUUUAACCUCUCAUGUUGUUGAAGUUGUAAAAUAUAUAUGGAUCAUUGGUAAUUCGGAUCAUAAACAUGAUGUCUUUGGAAUUAGAAUCAUAAACAUGAUAUCUUUGGAAUUAGAAUCAUAAACAUGAUAUCUUUGGAAUUAGAAUCAUAAACAUGAUAUAGGACCUAUUUGAUAAGUGAUAAAGACGUAGGUCAUACUUUUUUGUUUUAUUAGUAUUGGAGGGUCAUGAGGUCGGGGCAAAAAAUAAUGAUGUUUUGAUUGUUAACAGUUCUUAGCAAUGGAUCGAAGUUGGAUAUUCCUUAAACAUAGAUUUUGUGAUGCACUCAUUACUGGUGUAAACUCAUUCAUAUUGGCUGCAAAGAAACAUUUAAAUGAGGAAUACAAGACACGUUGUCCAUGUAGAGACUGCCUAAAUGGGAAUCUUCAUUCUUUGCAUGUUAUCCAUUCCCAUUUAUAUAAUAGCGGGUCGCACCACACUAUAAAGUUUGGACUUUACAUGGGGAAUUUCAAGAAAGUGGGUCAAGUACCCAAAUAGAAGAUGAUAAUGACAGUGAGGAUAAUGAGAUGUUUGAGAUGUUACAUGAUAUGUGGGAACUAAUGUUGAUGCCACAAGUGGCAAUGACAACUCUCACGCUAGUAAAUAUGAGUAUUUGUUUGGCAAAGCUCAAAGGGAGCUUUAUCCUGGUUGUGAGAACUUUUCUGUUUUAAGCUUUAUUGUAGAGUUGAUGCAUAUUAAGUGUCUCUCUUUUAUGAGUAACAAGCAUUUUGACAUGCUACUCAAUUUGUUAAAAAGAUCUCAUCCAAAAGAAGCAUUUAUUCCAUCAACAAAUAAUGAUGCAAAAAAGAUGCUACGAGAGUUGGGGUUAGGGUACGAAUCAAUUCAUGCUUGCAAGAAUGACUGUGCAUUAUUUUGGAAGACUAAUGAGAAACUUGAUAAAUGUCCUGAGUGUGGUGAGCCGGGGUACAAGCCUUGUUUUGGAAAGCGCAAGAAUAUUCCACUAAAAGUAUUACGUUAUCUACCCAUUAAGCCGAGAUUGCAAAGGUUGUAUAUGUCUAGGCAUACUGCAAAAGACAUGAAUUGGCACAAAGAGAGAAGGGUUAAUGAAGAUGGGGUUCUUAGGCAUCCAAUUGAUUCAGAUGAGUGGAAAGAGUUUGAUAAACAAUAUCCUUUGUUUGCCCAAGACUUGAGAAAUGUUAGGUUAGGCCUUGUUACGGAUGGUUUUAAUCCAUUUACAAAUAUGAGUAAACCUUAUAGUAUGUGGUCAGUUAUUCUUGUCUGUUAUGUGUGUUACAAUUUUCCACCUUGGAAAUGCAUGAAGGCAGUGUUCUCUUAACUUUACUUAUUCCUGGACCAAAUGGACCUGUGAAGGAGAUUGAUGUGUAUCUUCGUCCACUGGUGAAUGAGUUAAAAGAAUUGUGGGUGGAUGGUAUUCAAACUUUUGAUGCAUCUACAGGGGAAAUUUUUCGUUUGCAUGCAUGUGUUUUAUAGACCAUUAAUGACUUUCCUACCUACGGUAAUUUGUCUAGUUGGAGCACAAAAGGCUACUUGGCAUGCCUGAUUUGCAAUAAAGAUAUAACAUCACAGAGGAUAACAAUAAAAUAACUUACAUGGGCCAUAGAAGAUUUCGACCUUGUGGUCAUGCUUGGAGAGAAAUGAGUAUUGAAUAUAAUGGUCAUACUGAACAUAAGUUUCCUCCUAAAGUUCUCUUUGAUGCUGAAAUAUUGCAACAAUUAGAUAAAGUCAGAAGCUUCAGUCCUGGAAAAUAUGAGAAUAAUAUAGAAAGGGAUCAACCACGAGCGGCUGAAGAGUUGAAUUGGACAAAGAAGAAUAUUUUCUUCGAGUUAGAGUAUUGGUCGAAGCUAAGGUUGAGACAUAAUAUUGAUGUUAUGCAUGUUGAAAAAAAUAUAUGUGAUAGUGUAAUAGGGACAUUGUUGAAUAUUUAGGGCAAAACAAAAGACACAGAUAAUGUUCGUCGAGACUUGGAAGCUAUGAACAUCAGGUCAAAUCGUCAUUUGAGACUUGAAAGCGGAAAAUGAGAAAACCACAUGCUAGAUAUGUACUAAAAAUGCCCCAACAUAGGGAAUUUUGUAAGUUUCUAAAAUCAUUCAAAUUUCCUGAUGGGUACACUGCCAAUAUCUCUAGAAAUGUGAGCAUCAAUGAUGGAAAGAUAUACGGUUUAAAAAGUCAUGAUUGCUAUGUUUUACUUCAGCGCCUUCUCCCAGUUGGUAUUCAUCCAUUUUUGGAUACAGAAGUGUGCAAUGCUCUGAUUGAAUUAUCUCUUUUCUUCCAGAAUAUUUGUGCUAGAACGCUAAGAGUGUCAGACUUAGAGCGUAUGGAGAAUGAGAUUGUUAUAACUUUAUGCAAACUUGAGAUGAUUUUUCCUCAUGCCUUCUUUGAUAUAAUGGUUCACCUGGUUAUCCAUUUACCUCGUGAAGCCAAACUUGGUGGUCCUGUUAAUAAUCGAUGGAUGUAUCCGAUUGAAAGGCUCUUAGGUAAACUGAAACAAUAUGUUAAAAACAAAGCUCGUCCCGAAGGUUCACUAAUAAAAGGAUAUAUUGUACAUGAAUCAAUGACAUUUUGCUCAUUGUACUUACGUGGGGUUGAAAUACGCUUCAAUCCAAAUGUGCGAAAUGAUGAUGGAAGAAAUGAUCGAAAUGUGGGUGGUUUGUCAGUAUUCUCCCAAAAAGCACAUCCAUUUGGAGGUAGAAAGUUUAUAUUGUUGCCUAAAAAGGAAUUUGAUAAAGCUCAUUGGUUUGUGCUCCACAAGUGUGAUAAGGUUCAACCAUAUCUUAUGUAAGUAAUCUUCUAGGUCAUCUAUAUAUUCUCAUUUUUAUGUAUUAUAGCAUUAAUUAAGUAUUUGUUUUUCUUACUUGUUUAGUAAACAUAUGGAAGAAUUAAAGCUAAAAAGCAAUGAAAAUUUCUGUCAAAGGCAGGAACAAGAGUUUCCUAAAUGGUUUGAAAAUCGGGUAAGUUUUGUAACAUGUUUAUGUUUGAAACUAUAUGUGUCAUUAUUUUCCUAUAAAUAAUUAGUGUUUUAUAAUAUUACUAGAUAUAUGGCUUGAGAGAAAUGGGAUCAUUGGAAGCCAUUGAUGAUCUACAUUAUUUGUCAUGCAAGCCUGAUAUCCGUGUGCAUACAUACACUGGGUGUAUUGUUAAUGGAGUUCGCUUUCAGACAAAAGGUCGUGACAAUAAUCGUACCACACAAAAUAGUGGAAUUUUUGUGUUUGGGGAACAUAGUGAUUGUAGUCAUGAUUACUAUGGUGUUUUAGAAAGUGUGUAGGAACUGACUUACAUUAAUUGCAAUAAGGUAUUUUUGUUCAAAUGUUUGUGGUUUAACACUGACUCGACUCCCAAAGACCCUAAGAAGAGAAAGAUACGUCAAGAUUAUCAUCUUUCAAGCAUUAAUGUAAAUUCAUUGUGGUAUAAGGACAAGCACAACAAGUGUUUUAAGUCGACGAUUAUAAGUUAGGUUCUAGCUAGAAAGUCAUGCAAAGAGUGCAAUGCAGACAUAUAUGGGAUGUUCCAGAAAAUGAUACAACUGAAGAUGUAAAUCAAGAUAUCGAACCAACUACUGGUAAUAAUGUUUACCAAGAGGAUGAGUUCAAUGAAGUUCGAUGGGCUGUUCAAGAAGAUCAAGAAAAUCUCUUAUCAAGUGAUGAUGAAAUGGACGAAGAUUCUGAAGAUGAGUCUCAUGUCUAUGCUGUAGAAAGUGAUCCAACUUAUAGGGUGAAUUCAAGACACGACGAUGAGGAUUUUGAAGAAGAUAAUGCAUUGGAUGUUGGUGAAGAUGAAGAAAUUCUUGAAAGUGACGAUAGUGAUAGCAGUGACUACUAAGAUUUUUCUAAUGUAGUUUCUGAUUGUUUCUGUAAAAGGUUCUUGUAUCAUAUGUAAAAUAAAUUUUGCAUUAAUGAUGUUUUAGGUGAACCCAAAAAAAAAGGUCAAAGAUAUGUGGGAAGAAUUCCGAUAAACUGCAAGAGCAACUUGGUGGUUUAAAAAUACCAAUUACUUUGACAAAACUAAAGGGGAAGCCCAAAGGUCCGAAUUCCUCAUUUCUUGUGAAUGAUAUUGGUUUUGUGGUUCGGACCUAUGCACCACUAAAUGUGAAGCAAUGGAGGAAUGUAGAAAAGAAGGAUGUGGAUAAGAUGAUUGAAAGAAUAACUGUGAGUAAUAUUUUCAUUUCACAUUUUUGUUACAUUCAGUAUGUAAAGUCUUUCUUAAAUUAGAUUUAUUAUAAAUUGAAUUCCAUGCAGAGCAAGUACGAUAUUGAUAUGUCACUAACUCAUGUUAGUACAUAUAUUAAGAAUGCAUUACAAAGGCGGUUUGUUGAUUUUCGACACAAGCUAAAGCAGCAUUUUGAUUCAUUCCUAACUUUAGAAGAAGCAAACCAAAACAAACAUGAGGAUGUAACUAGUCAAGAGGAAUGGAAUUUUCUUUGUGAUCGUUAUGCAAGUGAUCAAUUCAAGGUACACGUGUAUAUUAAUGAAAUGAAUUGCGGUUGUCAUGUAUGCUGUUUAUCUUCUUCAUGUCACCAAAUUUAUUUUGCUAUGCAGGAACGCUCAAAUAAAAAUGCAAUUAAUAGGUCUCAUUUGACUUACAAUCAUAAAGGAAGGUCAAAAUCUUUUAGGGCCUAUGAAGAAGAGAUUGUAAGAUGUGUUUUUCAUAAUUUUAAUCUAGAUUCUAGGUGGAUAAUGAGUUAUUAACUUUAAUUUGUGAUUCAUGCAUUAGAAGCCAAAACCGGAGAACAGCUAAGUGCAAUUGAUUACUGUGAGGCUGUGCAUAAAAACACCAAAAAUGGUUAGGAUGAAAGAGCUAAACUGAAGUGGUAAGUUAGUUAUGUACAUGUUGGUUGUGUAUAUUUUAGUCCUGCUAUGUCAAUGUAUAUAUUUGUAUUCAAUGUUUAUGUGUAUGUCAUAAUCUAACAUGUAAACUUUUGAAAGCGUGUAUUGUUUCUUGCUUAUUUCUCCUACAUAAAAGAGUCUCGCCACUUAUAAGACAUGUAAGUAUAAAGGUGUUGUCCAUGACUUGUGGUGUUCAUUGUCCCCUGUCACUUUUCUGUCAUUCCUUGGACUCAAGUUUGGCAAACUAAGGUUUUUGCUUGGGGAAAAAAUAUAAUUGUUUGACAAUUACCUCUUAUUUAGCUCAAUAGCUGACAUGUAAUUCGUGGCUUGAUAAGUUGCAAGGCUUUUUUUGUGCUUGUAUGAGUUUGAUAAUGUCAUUAUGUUGAUAAAGGUGUAUUAUUGAUCAUAAGCAAUUAUAAUUAUAGACAAGUCAUUUGCGACUAAAUCGAGAUAGAAGAAUAUGUGAAGCUUUUAUGUUUAUGAUAUACAUACGAAGGAACCAAAUGUGAUAGAUUUUAUGUUUGUGUACAUGAAGGAGCUAAGCAUGAUAGUUUAUUUUUCAUUUGUAGGAAGAGAUGCUAAGUGUGAAAAACGAAACAACUCUUCCAGAUGGUACGGUGACGUUGACAGAUGAUGAAAUUAUUCUAGGGGUUCUUGGUCACAAGUCUGGGUACUUCAAAGGUCCUUCAAAGUCUGUCUCUCAUGAAGACACUAUGUUGGACAAAUUUAGAAGAAAAACUUGAGACUCAAUAGCAAGAGCUUGUGACAACAAAACAAGAGCUUGUUGAAAUAAAACAAGAGCUUGGUGAAGCAAAACAAGAGAUCCAAGAAUUGAAGGAGAACCAAAAGAAAUUUGAGGAACUCCUACACAAAAUAAUGGAAGGGCAGCAACCACCUCCAUAAGUAGUCCUUUUGUUUUGCUCGAAUAUGUGAACUUUUUUUUUAAAACAAUGUGAACUUUCAUAGUUGUUAACAUUAAGCGUAACUAAUUUUGCAGACUAUGAAUUAUCAUUGUAAGCUAUUUUGGUUUUGGACUAAUAUGAAUGAGCUUUUAGUACCUUUGAUCAUUAAUUCUUGGCACUAAAUUAAUUCAGGUUACAGGGAGAAACCAACUUCUCGUAGUAGGUUACUCAUGAGAAUAAUUAUCAUUAACUUACAACGAGGAAUUUUACCUUCAUUUAAGUUCUUGCUAUAGACUUGUUACAACGAGGAAACGAGUGUCUCAUAGAUACUUAUCAACGAGGAAAUUCAUUCUCGCAACAUAUGAUCUGCAGCGAGAAAUAAUAUGUUCAUCGUUGAAUACUCACCUACAAAUUCCUCGCCAAAAGAUAUUUACAGCGAGGAAUUUGAUCAUUUUUGCGAGGAAUUUUAUCCUCGCAUAAGUUAUGGAAUGUCAAUAUUCAAGUUGUCAAAAGGUUUUGGCGACCACAUUCCAACCUCUUUAGCGAGGAAUUUGUCAUCACUCCAACUCAACUAUGAGAAAACGUUCCACUCUCGCUGUAUCAUUUCUAUGAGGAAAUAAUUCCUCACUGUACACAUUUCCUGACGGGCCUACUAUGAGGAAUGAGAGAGGAAUUUUUUUCCUCGUUGAAAACCUUCUGCGAUAAAACAACAACUUUCAAUGAGGACAAAAGUCCUUGCCAAACAGCUAUUUUGUUGUAGUGUUUGUAGUGGUAGGUGAUAGCGUUUACUUUAUUCUCUAAGGAAUAGAAUUGGGUUGGAAGGCUACACAAUGUCAUUUAAAAAAAAAAUAAUGAAGGUAUUAGCAGUUGAAAACAAUUAUUAAAUACUCAACUCUAUUUUUUAUUAAAGCAGCUUUUAAAAACAACAUGCAUGCUGCUUCUAAAACCUGUUGUUUGGAGCCCAUUGCUUUUAAAAUAAGUAGAAUAUUUUACUUUUACCAAAUACUUUUUUACUGUUUAACUUUAAAGUUAAGCAGUUUUUAGUGGAAAAAAAAAAUUCAAAGGGGGCCUUAAGUUUCUCAUUUGCACUAGGCUGCCACUAGCAUUUGUAAAUGAUGUUCUAUAAUUAUUCAUAUUCUAUUUCUAAUAAUUAAAAACCCAUAUUAUCUUAAAUUAUCUAAUAACCCAUCACAUAACUUGAAUUUUUUGGAUGCUAAUUAAAUUGUAAUAUCAAUAUAAGGGCUCAUCUAGAAUUAAAAUUACUGCAAACGCUUUUAGAGAAAAUGAUUUUGGGUUUCAAAAGCACUUUGAGUACAUCCGGCAAGCAGCACCGGUUAUGUAUUUCUUGCAGAAAUCACUUCAAAUGUUUUUUCAAGAUUCACUUAUAUUUUUACUAAGGAUUGGUUUUAAAAAUAUUUUUACCAAAAAUACUUUUUGCCAUUUUAAAAAUACUUCCAAACUAGUCAUACUUCUUGUGUUACUGUUACAAACGAAAUUUUUUUAAUUGGUAUAUAGUUAUAUAGCUAGCUAGGUGCCUCAACUUAGAACUUGUUUCUCCAAAUCAUCUUUAAUGUGUUAGAAGAGUUUAAGGACCUUGAAUAAUUAAGGAGGCCCCAUAGACCAAAGGCAAGUUAUCAGUAGAUCCCCUUGGACUCUAUUGUAAUUGUUAGACCUAAGUUAAUUAAUUAAUUAAUUAACAAGGCAAACGAGCAGUAUCACAGUUAGUGCUUGGUUCAUGCAGGUAAAGAAAACCGGGAAUACCCCAAUGGUACAUAAUUUCAUAAGGAUAAUACUAAGAAGAUUAAUUUUUUUUAAAACAGGGAAAACCCCAAUGUUACAUAAUUUUAUAAGGGUAAUAUUAAGUAGAAUAAAUUUUUAAUUAAAUUUUGUAAAUAAAUGAUGUAGUUGUCGAUGAUUGAAUUAUUACUUAAAUGUUGAUUAACAUGCUUAUUUUCUAUCAGUGACACAUUAUAAUUUACAAAUUUAAUUUAAACGAAGGCAUACUAACGCUCUGGUUAGAAGAUGCAAUUACGAGCAGAGGUUCACAGCUGAAGAGGUAGAGGUAGAGGAAUACCUAUAAGGACUUUAGAAGAGACUCUAAAAAAAGACUUAGAGUACUUGGAUCUAAUGGAAGACGUGAUACAAAACCGAGCGCAAUUGUGUUCUAAGAUUUAUAUAACUAAUCUCACUUAGUAAGAAAAUGUUUUGCUGUUGUUGUUGUAUAGUAUUACUCAUUUCAUAAUAUUAGUUUAAGUGCGUAUACUAAAUCUAACAAGAAAAUGGACAAUUAUGUACUUUUGUAUUCUGACAUGAUUAAGGAAAAGAAAGAAGAUAACUUUUUCUUGUUUGACCCGUAGUUCAAGGCUUGUUCUCACUCUGCCAUUCAAAAUCCUGAAAAUUAUUAAGAAUAAUACGUGUAUCUCCACAAGAGAGGAAUACGCAUAUCUCAACCUUACUAAUUCAUGUUUUUUAUUAAUGAAUAUUUUUUUUUUGGAAAUAUAUUAAUGAAUAAUUCCUUACAUGUAAAACACCAUAUAUUUUUCUUAUUGUUAUUCGUUAAAGAGUAUACGGAUCAACUGAGGCUCACAACUCCCUUUUUUUUUUGUAAAGAAAUCGAUAGAAUUUCAUUGAAGGAAGAAGUCCCACAGACCACCAGUCGACAAUGCCUGAGAAGAGCAAGUCCUGAUUCUCCUAAAACUAAUAACAAAGAAUUUACCUCCAUGCCUACAAUAAGAGUUUGAAUCAAGACUCUCCUAAUUCUCCUCCUAUUGCAAUUGUAUUCCACUAUCGUAUUGAUCUUAAUAAAGGUGCAUAGUUUAUUGAACAAUGUUUGGUUACUCAAUGAUGAAUAGAAGUUUCUAUUCAAAACUCUUCGUGUUUCAAUCACAGUGCUUUGUGUUUAUGAUCAGAAUCAUUCAUAUUAUAAAUCACUCGAUAAAGAUUAUUUCUGAAAAAAUGAAUUAAAACUAAGAUCGGUUAGUCAAUCUAUUGUAGCAAAUACAUCGACAGUGCAUAUACAAAUUUUGUUCGUCUUUUUUAUACAAUUUGAUGACUAAACGACCUUAGUUUAAUUGAUUUUUUUGCAGUGACGAUCUUUAUAAAGUGAAUUAUAAUAUAAACGAUUUUGAUCAUAAACGCAAUGUUCUAUGAAUCGGCAACAAACUAUUUGAAUAGAAACUCCAACGCAUCUUUUAAGUAGCCAAUAAUUAUUCUAAUUUAUUUCCAUCUUAACAAUACUACUAGCCAUACACUUACGAAACACAGCCCUUAAUGCUCUAUUUGGUUGCUGGAAUUUCCAAAAGAAAAAUUGUAAUUUUCUUGUUCGCCGGAAGCACAUGAUAGGGGCCGAUAUUAGUGGCGGGGCCCUAAAUGGGGCUCACAAAACAAGAACAGUGUUCUGCAGAAAGAAGAUCGGAGUUGACAAAUUCAUGUGACAAACGUGAGUAAGAUUAUAGCGUAUCAUUUGCUCUUCGUUUAGCAACGGAAAAAAAUGAUUAAUUAUGUUGAAGAAUUAAUAGACACACAUUCUUCGCAUUGACAAAUUAACUUCAACCAACUCGUAAAAACUAAUUUCAUUAUGCAGUUUCAAUGUUUAGAGCACUGUGUUAUUCUCUUCCCUAAACUUGAGAGAAGAAUACUACACACUUAACUUCCUAUGUUUUUCAGUGAUUCACUUGAGAUUGAUAGAGAAAGAGGAACUAUGAACUGGAUAGGGAAGUUCCUCCCCAGUCAUGGCUAUGUUCAUUCAGGUAAGCAAGCAUUACAAGGACUAAUUAAGAUGUAAUUAACAGCUCAAUAUAUAACAUGCAUUAAUUUCACUAUAUCCAAGUUUCAGUCUGACAAUUAAUUAAGCUAAUUGGUGAUCUUACAAUUGUUUCAAUGCAUGUUUACUAUAAGCAAAACUAAAAACUUAAUGAAAUUCCCUAAGAAACAACUUAAUGAAGGGUGCACAGCAACCUCUAGCUGACCCAUGAUAGUCCUCAUACUGAUCAUGACGAAGAAUCCUUGAAUCAACGAAAACCUUCGGGCUUGACAUUGAUCUACCUCGUGCCAAAAAUUUCGUCGGUGUUACUGGGGAAGAUGGCACUGAAUAGUAUGUUGUUGAAUAAGCUGAUGACGACGAAGAAGAAGCAGAAGAAGAAAAGGAAGGAGAUGCUGAUGAAAUGGCUGGUAAGGAUGAUGGGUUUGAUACUUUUCUUGAAGUUGUACUAGUACUACGCAUUUUGGGAAGAAUAUUGGGUACACGAGGAGAGCUUUUAGAGUUCUUUUUCCUCGAGGGUCUUUUUGGGGAAUCGGAAAAAUACGAGGGUGGAGGUGUAAGAGGAGCUAAACGACUAGGGUUUUGGAGGAACUUGGAUUUAGGAGUACCUGGUUGAGAUUCCCAAGUGAAUGGAACUGAAACAAAGGCAGAGGCUUCUCCAUGGUAGUGAUCUUCAAGUGCUGAUGAUGAGUUAGCCAUAAAUUCUUGUUUGGGUGCUUAGAGAAGUUGUGGUGCUUGGGUUUGAAGCAAUCUUUUGCUUCAGUUUGAAUUAAAAGUGUCUUACUAAUAACUAGAUAUAUUUGUAUACAUGGGGCAAAGUGUGGAAUGAAUUAUAAUUAAUCUAUUGCGUCUCUUGCUAGUUUCAAGGAUCGGUUGAUUUUUGGCUUACAAAUGUCUACAUGUGAUUCUCUAACAUGCUGGUGUAUGACUUUAUAUAAAAAUAGGGGUUUGAAAAAUUUGUUAGUGGAACAUAAAAAUAUAAUUUUAUGAAAUUGAGAGUGAUAUACUUGAUCAUGACUGGCCAACUAAUAUAUUUCAUAUAUAAAAGGUUUUUAAAUCAAAAUGAUCUUUGAGAUUGGCAUAACUCCUCAAUUUGAAAUCAAUAGAAAUGAUUUCUGAAUUUGUCCCCAUCAAUCAUUUUUUGUCAUUUCGUGAAAAAUUUAUAUUAAAUACGGAUAAAAUAACAAAAAUAACCUUAAUGUUUAUCAAAUCAUUUGGGCUCAUUGUUUUCACUUGUGCGUCCUGGGUUCGAAGCGCCGCCCUCCCCUAAUAGUUUCGAACUCACUCCUUUCCCUUAAUAAUAAUAAACUUAAAAAUAAAAUAAAAAUCGAAACGACAUGCACGUUUAUUAAAAGCCAGUAAACCCUGCUUAAAUUUAGGUUUGCUAAAUGAACUGCUUAUUAAUUAUUUUAGCCAUUUUUUCAUAUAUAUUUAUCAAAUUAAUCAAAUGUUAAUUUUUAAUGGUUUAUACUAUUAUUUCUUGGAUUAUCAAUGAUCCACUAUAACCUUCUUUUUUUAAUGAUCCACUAUAACUGAUGACUGAUUAAGUGUCUAAAAGUCAGCCGAAAUAUAAAUAUCGUAUUCAGCAGCUUGCUUACUCCUUUUCGCUUUCUUCUCAUCAAAAGAUGACCAUCACAUCAUUUUGCUGCAUUCUUAAUGCCUAUGUUUUGGCUUGCCCAUUGCUCUUUUGGCUGUUUUGUUUCUCGUUUCUUGCCUUUGUGCCUCUUUUAUGAAAUCAUGUUUUGAUACAAACAACAUGCGACAUGCGAUAUCAAAAACAGGACCUCAUAUACAAAAAAGGCUCGCAAUUACUUAAGUUACGAGCCUCUCAUAUGUUUGCAAUUAAUUUGAGCUUGAUAAUCAUGUGCACACUAACUGAAUAGCUCAUUUCCUUUAAUUCUGAAUAUAAUUGUAUAAUUGAUUAAAAACCCAUUUAGGCGAACCUUUUGAGACAAUUUCCCUACUAUUAUUGCCCUAAGAGCUGCGACUUAGGCGAUCUGUUAAUCAAUCUUAGUCAACAAAAUAUUAUAAUCUUAUUUAAAAUUGCCAACAGAAUUAAAGAAUAUAAGGCAUAUUCAUGAUAUUAAUUAUUUAGUCAACCUAUACAUUUAAAUAAUUUGAAGUCAUUGUUUUCGAAAUGUUUUAAUUAAAAUUAUUUGAGAAUAUUUUAGAUUUUGGAAGUUGCUUAAUUAGCAAGAACAAGAUGCAUGGGUUGAGUUAAUUAGCCUCUACUGGCAAGUUGAAUUGAUAAGCGCCUAAGGAAGCUUUGGCCCUAAUUAAACAAGUUUGAACAUGUGUUUAUGUAGUAAUUAACCUUCUUCAUUUACUUCAAACGAUUGAUAAUUGUCAUGUGUAUAUGGAACAGUGGAGAAGUCGGUGUCAGAGUAAGAGAGCACCGACUGAUCUAAUGUAUACGAAACAGUUUUUAUUGGGUCAAACACAAAAAAUGAAAUUAAAAAAUAGGGUUACCUUGUGUGGCGAAGUAAUUAAAUGACUUUUUUUUUUUUGUUCUGUCAGGAAAUUAUUAAACGACUUUGAUCAACAAAAAUAAUACCUACUGUUCAAUAAAUUAGGAUUAUAGUUGCAGUGAGUCAAAAGAUCCCACUAUGAGAUGAAGGAAACAGGUUAUCCUUAGCAAGUCAAUUUGUAUUCGUUUUGACCCAAGUGUACAGAGGAGGAUGCCAAAGAAUGGGAACAAUAUAAGGAGCUUCCAUAGCUCAUCGACAAAAUUAUAGAGACUAAAAGUGCUUAUUUAAAACUAUUGAUUUCUCAUUAUUCGAAUUUGAUUGGAACCGAUGACUUACGUCUAUUUCCUAGUGUUACGGGAUGACUCUUUAAGCCUUCCGCCCGUGCGGCACUUAGACUUGAAUACCUCGAUGAACAAGCUAAGUAAGCCUUCGAAGCCUCGCUUCCCCGGAUCGAAUCACAAAGAAAGCUAAGAUAGCUUGGAGAAUGCUAAAAUCACUUAGAAGAUGGGAGAAAGGAAGCUUUGUAUUGAAACUUAAGAGAACUUUACAAUUGCUUACAAUUCUUGGAUGCCUUGGCCAAAUGGCCUUGCCUCCUAUUUAUAGGCCUAAGUCACCUCCUCAAUGGAGGGUUCUAGAAUUCCCUACUUUCAUCCAAAAAUAUCUAGCAUAGUUCUAGAUACAUCUUGCCUAAUCUACAUUGUUCUAGGUGAGGCUUAAAUUUGUACACUUGUGUGGAAUGUUCCGGAAUGCCCUAGAUUAUCUUGAACGCUCCGCCAUGUUCUUGAUUUUUCCGGGAUGUUCCAGAAGCUUCCAUGAAGACAAGGCUUUAUGGGCUUAGAUAUAUGAUGUCUUAGGUGAUUUCUUUGUUUUUAACUUAUGGCCCGUGACAUCCUCCCCCACUUAAGACGUAGACGUCCUCGUCGACUCUUGCCUCUCGAAUGUCUGAAUCAAGUCCUUAUAUUGCCAUAAGGACGUCUCUUUCUCCCAUGUUGCUUCGGAGUAUGGUAGCCCCUUCCAUUUGACAAAGUACUCCACAUGCUUUGGUUGUCUUGGUCGCACCACGACACGCUUGGCUUCAAUGCUCUCCGCUUCUUUGUCAAAUGCCUCCGUCAUCAAAGGGGGUGCUUGAUAAGACUCACCUCGACUUGGUUCUUCAUCGUCUGCAUGAUAAGGCUUCAAGUUGCUCACAUGGAACACCGGGUGAAACUUGAGGCGGGGUGGGAGUUCCACAACAUACGCGGCUUUGCCAACCUUCUUAAUGAUAAGGAAUGAUCCCUCAUAUUUCCGCAACAAGCUCUUGUGCAAGCCACGAGUACUCUUGUGUUGAGACGCAUUGAGCUUCACAAAGACUUGGUCGCCAGUUUGGAACUCCACAUUCCUUCGCUUACGAUCCGCCCAUUUCUUCAUCUUCUUUGAAGCCUUCUCCAAAUGAGCUUGAGCAAGUUCGCGGGCUAAUUGCCACUCCUUAACGGUUUUGAAAGCGGCUGGACUAUUCCCCGUGUAGUUAGUCACGACCGUGUUCGGGGUCAAGGGUUGUUGCCCUAUAGCCAACUCGAACGGACUUUUCCCCGUCGACUCCGAACGUUGCAAGUUAUAAGAAAAUUGGGCAACAUCAAGUAACUUAGCCCAAUCUCGUUGAUUGGCAUUAACAUAGUGCCGUAAAUAAGUCUCCAACAAUGCAUUAACCCGCUCCGUUUGUCCAUCAGUUUGGGGAUGAAAAGCUGUGGAGAAGUCUAACUUUGAGCCAAGUAGCUUGAAGAGUUCCUUCCAAAAUCUUCCCGUGAAGCGAGCAUCUCAAUCACUGACUAUGCUCCUCGGAACACCCCAAUACUUCACCACGUGCUUUAGAAACAAGCGUGCAGCUACUUCGGUUGUGCACUCCAUAGGUGCGGGUAUGAAAGUGGCAUACUUGGUGAAUCUAUCGACCACGACGAAGAUAGAUCCAUAUCCAUCAGACUUGGGCAAAUGUGUGAUGAAAUCCAUGGUUAAACACUCCCAUGGUCUUGAUGGGGUGGGAAGUGGUUCCAACAGUCCUCCCGGUUGCCUUUGUUCCCCUUUGUCUUGUUGGCACACAAGACAAGUCUUCACGUAUGAAUCUACAUCAUCCCGCAUUUGUGGCCAAUAAUAAGCAUCGCUCACCAAAGCCAACGUGCGGUGAGUGUCAGAAUGUCCUGCCCACAUUGAGUCGUGGCACUCCUUAAGGAUUUAUUUCCUUAAGCUUCCCCACUUUGGGACGUAGAUCCGCUUGCCCUUGGUGUAUAGCAAGCCGUCCUCAAGCCAAAACCUUCUUGUCUUCCCAUCCUUGACAAACUCCACAAUGUUCUUGGCUUGGACGUCAUGUGAUAAACCUUCUCGGACACGGCCCAAGAGAUGGCUUUGCGGCUUGAGUACCGUAGCCAUUAACUCUACUCGUCUACUUAGAGCAUCGGCCACCACGUUCUCCUUUCCUUGCUUGUACUCUAGCUUGUAAUCAAACUCCGCUAAGAACUCUUGCCACCUUGCUUGCUUAGGUGUGAGCUUUUGUUGGGUUUGAAAGUAGCUAGUGGCAACGUUGUCCGUCUUGAUGAUGAAUGGGGUACCAAGCAAGUAAUGCCUCCAAACUCUAAGGCAAUGGACGAUGACGGUCAUCUCCUUUUCAUGGGUCGUGUACCUUUUCUCAGCAUUGUUUAGCUUGCGACUUUCAUAGGUUAUCGGAUGUCCUUCUUACAUCAACACUCCUCCUAUGGCAAAGUCGGAAGCAUCAGUGUGCAACUCGAAUGGCUUGCUAAGGUCGGGCAACCUUAGUACAUGCUCCUCCAUUAGGGCCUUCUUCAACCUCUCAAAGGCCUCUUAACACCGGUCCGUCCAUUCUCAUGCCUUGUUCUUCUUAAGAAGGUCUGUUAAGGGUGCCGCUAUGGCUGAAUACCCUUUAAUAAAUCUCCGAUAGUAGUUGGCUAGCCCCAGAAAGGAUCGUAGUGUUGGUACCUUGGUCGGCGGUUCCCACUUUUGAAUGGCCUUGAUCUUGCCCUUUUCCAUCAUAAGUUUCCCCUCCCUUAUCUUGUGGCCAAGAAAUUCUACUUCUUUUGUGGCAAAGGAGCAUUUCUCCUUCUUGACAUAGAGUUCAUGCUCCCGAAGGGUCUUGAACACUAUGCGCAAGUGCUUGACGUGCUCCUCCAAUGUCUUACUAUAGACAACGAUAUCAUCAAUGUAAACCACGACAAACUUGUCAAGAUAAGGAUGGAAUACCUUGUUCAUCAAUGUGCAGAAUGUUGCGGGGGCAUUGGUUAGACCAAAUGGCAUGACUUUAUACUCGAACGAUCCAUAUAUGGUCACCAUCGCCGUCUUCGAUUCGUCUCCAGGGGCUAUCCUCACUUAGUAGUAUCCCGAUCGAAGAUCUAACUUUGUGAAGUACCUUGCUUCACCAAGUUGAUCGAAUAAGUCGGCGAUCAACGGAAGUGGGUACUUGUUCUUGAUGGUAAUCUUGUUCAAUGCUCUAUAGUCGAUGCACAACCUUAGGCUACCUUCUUUCUUGCGUUGGAACAAGACGGGUGCACCAUAUGAGGACUUGGAGGGUUGGAUGUAGCCAGCAUUAAGUAGCUCGUUGAGUUGCUUCCUCAAUUCCUCCAACUCGGGUGGCGACAUCCUAUAAGGUGAUUUGGAGGGAAGCUUAGCACCAGGCUCCAACUCAAUCGCAUGGUCGACCUCUCUCAUUGGUGGCAACUUCUUUGGCAAUUCCUUAGGCAUCACGUCCGCAAACUCCAUAAGGACGGCUUCCACUUGUUUCGGCAAAGGCCCGUACUUCUCAUCCCCUUCAUUCAACAUUAGGGUUGCAAGAAAUGUGGCCUCGCCUUUCUUCCAAGACUUGGCAAAUUGAAUUGCCGACAAGUGCUGGGUACACUUCUUAGCUUGCCUUUCCAAUGGCACCAGGCAAGGUUGUCUUCCGUCGGCCAGGAUACAGAAAAUAUUGUAGAAGGGAAUGGGAAAGGCUCGUACCUUGUCCAUGAACUCUAACCCAAUGACUACGCCAUAGUCGUCCAUCUUGACUACGGUGAAGUCGAUCUUUCCCUUCCAUGUGCCAAUGUCUACUUGUACAUUGCGCGCAACUCCAACAAUGGGGGUGGCAGCGGAAUUUACCGUCUUCACACUACCAGGCUUCUUUGUGACUCGGAGGCCAAGCCUUGUGGCUUCCUCCGACGUCAUGAAGUUGUGGGUUGCUCCCGUGUCCACCAACACACGCGUCGUCUUGUCACCAGUCUUGACGUCGACGAACAAUGAUCUUCCCCCAACUUGAGCCUUAGGUUGUGGGAAGGUUGUUUAGAUAGCAUUCAGUAGACGGAUGCAUCCCAUCCUUGCAUCGUUACUCUCUUCGGCCUUGUCGUCCUUGAAAGCCAUGGCCUUAAGGGCCUUCUUUUGUGGGCAAUCUCGCAUCAUGUGAGGGCCGUCGCAUAGGUAACAAGUGGGUUGCCAAGACUUACCCUUGCUUUUGUCAUGCUUAUCAGCUUUCUUCUCCUUUGGUUUGCUUGUCUCGGCCUUGUCCUUCAGCUUAUGUUCUCCCCCACUUCUCUCAUGGUUACCCCUCUUCCCCGUGGACUUGGAAUCACCUUGGUGGCUUGAUUUAAACUCAAUCAAGGAUUCGGCGGCGGCAAUGGCAUCAGACAAUGUUUGCACGUGUCUCCUUUGUAGUUCGAGUUUUGCCCAAUUUUGCAGUCCACUCAUGAAGUACAUGAGCUUGUCUUCCUCUAACAUGUUGGGCACCUCGAAUAACAAGCUCACGAAGGCGUUGACAUAGUCUUUGACGCUCCCCGUUUGCUUGAGCCACCUUAGUUUCUCCUUGGUUUCGUACUUGGCAUUUUGGGGAUAAAAGUGCAACAUAAGAUCUUUCUUAAAUUCAUCCCAAGUGGUGAGGGAGAACGUACCUUGCUCAAUCUCCAUGCUCCGGCGACGCCACCACAUAAGGGCAUUGUCAGCUAAGAACAUGGUUGCCGUUGAGAUUUUGGACUCGUCAUCUUCAAGCUUCAGGUACUUGAAGUAUCGCUCCACGUUCCACACGAAUGUGUCGAGCUCAUUUGCUUCCCUCUUCCCAUUAUAGGAUUUGGGUUUAAAGGAGUCGAUUACCUUGGAGUCCAACGCCUUGAUUUCCCUCAGCCCUUGCACGAAUUGAUUCACGACCGCUUCUUUACAAAACGCCACAUUUCCCUUAAGUUCCCUUGUGUCCUUUAUCUCUUCUUGAAGCGCCACAAACCUUGCCUCUAUGUUGUCAAGGUGAACCUGGACUUCCCUCCGUAUCUUGUCUACCAUGGUGUUGAGAGCGCCAAUGAGCUCAUCUCGUAGCCCUUCCACCAAGCCACGCAGUUCAUCCUUACCAUUGUCCACCAUGGUUUGGAUUUCCUCAUUGUCGACAACGUCCUCAUCAAGUCGAGUAUCGAACUCGAGUAUGGUUCGUUCCACCUUCUCGAGUCACUCUUCCAUGGUCUCCAUCGAUGCUUGCAAGUCCUUUAACUUUAGCUUGCUCUUGGCAACAUCUUGGACCUCGGCAGUACGCUCCCUUAGCUCGGAGACUCCGGACACCAUCUCUCCACUUGCCAUAUCCUACUUUCCUUCAAGUGAUUCGCGAACUAGGCUCUGAUACCAGCUGUCACGGGAUGACUCUUUAAGCCUUCCGCCCGUGCGGCACUUAGACUUGAAUACCUCGAUGAACAAGCUAAGUAAGCCUUCGAAGCCUCGCUUCCCCGGAUCGAAUCACAAAGAAAGCUAAGAUAGCUUGGAGAAUGUUAAAAUCACUUAGAAGAUGGGAGAAAGGAAGCUUUGUAUUGAAACUUAAGAGAACUUUACAAUUGCUUACAAUUCUUGGAUGCCUUGGCCAAAUGGCCUUGCCUCCUAUUUAUAGGCCUAAGUCACCUCCUCAAUGGAGGGUUCUAGAAUUCCCUACUUUCAUCCAAAAAUAUCUAGCAUAGUUCUAGAUACAUCUUGCCUAAUCUAGAUUGUUCUAGGUGAGGCUUAAAUUUGUACACUUGUGUGGAAUGUUACGGAAUGCCCUAGAUUAUCUUGAACGCUCCGCCAUGUUCUUGAUUUUUCCGGGAUGUUCCAGAAGCUUCCAUGAAGACAAGGCUUUAUGGGCUUAGAUAUAUGAUGUCUUAGGCGAUUUCUUUGUUUUUAACAUAUGGCCCGUGACACUAGGACGUUUAAAGAUCGCGGCUCUACUACUUAGUUAAAAAGGUCCAUCCGCAAAUAUGACUGGGAAAGAAAGCUUCAAACUACCUAACCAAAUCAAAGUAUGAUGACGUAUAUGUAAAAUAAAGAGUUUUGCUUUCAAACUUCACUUUAUUUCAUAUUUUCUACAUAGCCAUUAGCAAGAUAAAGCAUGCAGCCAUCUAAACAUUUCAGAGCUAUGAGAAAAUUGCUUCGACAUAAAAAGAGCUAGUUAGCUAAAAAAACAAUGCCAAAUUGAGAAGAAAACCAAAGCCAACCAUGUUGUGCAACCUCGUAGCUAAAAAGUAUGUGUGAUCAAUGAUUCAGAGUUGUAGUAAUCAACCUCCUCCAUUGGAAGCUUAUUGAAGAUUAUCCGCCAAAUCAAAAAGAGGAGGGGGAUGAAUGAACGCCAAAUAAUAUUGGAAACUUAACUUUGAACAAAAAUCGAUUUCAACAAUUUCAUAGCCAUCAGAAAAAGUAAAAGCCCCAGAAGAACAAGCUUCUCAAAUCAACAAAUCAUUGUCCUUACAAUAGGAAACGGUCCUUCAACUUUGAAGAAAAAAAGAGACAAUAAUCUAUUUGAAUAUUUUUCCAUGCUAAUAAUAUCUGAGACCUUAGUGUGAAAUAGAGAAGCAUCGAACUUAGUAACACUAACAUCCUCUAAAAUUGGCGUACCCAAUCACUUGCCAACCCAAAAAGAGUUAUUAGAUCCAUUCCCGAUCACCCAACAGGAAUUUUGAAACAAAAUAGGGACAAUAUAUUUAGUUUUGAAUCUUUUGAUGCAUCGAACAACCCUAAUAAGCUUGAACAAAAUGGGAAAUUAAUUAGUUGCUAACAUGCUUGGAUGCCUCACUAACCAACCAAAUUAGUAUUUCAGUUAAGGAACCCUUCCACAUGGAAUCUCACAUGUAGAUUGAUUCAAUACAUAGAUGAAAACAAAUGUUAUUUUAGUCUCUCAAGAGCUUGAAUUGCUUUGACGCAUUGGACUGUUUUUCUAUCUGAUGAAACAUUAUUGGGCUUGAAGUUCUGUAAGCAAUAAAGAGAGCUAAUUUGGGCUUGAGUUUGAUUUUUUAUUUUUUUGUCAAUGGGCUUGAGUUUGUUUGGCAAAGGAGCUACCUCUAUACCUCCCUCCACGUCUUAUUUUUUCAUAUGCAAGGUGAUGUGAACUUCAAGUGCCAAAAUUGGUCUUUGACACCUAUUUUCCACCGCCAACCAACCCUCUCCCUGCUUUUGUGACAUCAACCGUAUAUAAAUACGUUUUACCGCAGUUGAUAUUUGUUCAUUCUACUACGGAUUUAGUUUCCACUAAUUCUCUUUCUCCUUGAUAACUAAAUCAGUUGGAAGAUAAAACAUUUUAAAUAAUAGGAAAACUAAUGAAAAAUGCUUGAAAACUUUGAGUUUUAACGAUAAGGACAAAAUAAAAGGUAAAAUAAAUAGUACCAUAUUUGACCUUUUAGUGUAAAAAUGUGGUUUUUCAUUAAAGUGAACAGUACCGCGGGCUUUUUAUUAAAACUUCCUUUAAUAAUACUACACUUAAUUAUCCUUAAAACCUUUCUUUCUCCAUGUAAUUAUAUAAUAAUAAGGAUUUGAUCUAAAAAUCAAAUUCUAAUACGAUAAUCCCUAAGAUAAGAUUGUCGAAUGAGUACGAGUUAUGGAUGAGUAUGACAAUCCAUUUAUAUUCAAUUGAUAUAUACAUAGUGAUAUUGAUGCGCAAUCUAUUUUAAUUCAAGGCAAAUCAAAUUACGUCGGAGUUGUCUUACUAGUGUCGGAUCUAGAAAUUUUACUUAACGGAGCAAAAUUAGGAAGAAUUAAACACCAAUCUUAUCAAAUUAAAAAGUAAAAAUAACAAAUAACCCACAAAAUCUUAACGUGUCUAGGCACACGCUCAACUUGCCAUAUUUUCUCUCCUAAACAAGGAUUUAGUGUGCACGGGUUGCGCAUGACCAUGUUGUGUUUAAUGACGUCAUAACGAGACUGCAACAACAACAGUAAAAUUAGGUCAAAGGCUGAUCAUGCACAACUUAGGAUGAAUCGUUAUAGUGUCAGUGGAAUAUUAAAGUAUCGUUAUAGUGUCAGUGGAAUGUUAAAGUAUCGUUAUAGUGUCAUUGUAGCAUCUUAGACUGUCAUUAGAAUGUUAUUACGACGUCAUUAGAUUAAACCAAAUCAUUGUGUGCAGUUGAGAAAAUCUACUCAAUUUACUUCUUACGCAUGAGCUCACACGUAAGACCGCACAAAUUAAUAUAAAAAUCGAAAGCCUCACAAAUUAAUUUUGAAGUAAAUUUUAGAAUAGUGUCAUCCAUACAUUUGUUUUGGUCGUACAUUUGUUUUUAUCGCAACAAUUUUUUGUUAAACUUUUAUCAUUAAUUUUUUGUAAUUUAUAUAAUUAGGCGGUUUAAAAUUAAAAGAAAAGUAAAAAAUUAAGAAAAAUAUAAAAAGUUAAAAUGAACGGCUGGAUAAAAAAUUCUCAAAUUUUAAUGUUAAUAUUUUGAAUUUGAGCACCACUUCCUGCUUUCCUCUCUCUCUUUUUUUUCGUUCGGCCUUUGGUUUUGGGGAUCGCCAUCCCCAGGAGCUUCUCCUUCGUCAACAAAAAGGUAUGAUUUCCAAUUUUCCAUUUGUUUUUUAUAUUAUUUUUCAUCGUCUUUAGCUGCUUUUGAGAAUUGAUCGAAACACCUAGAAGAAGUUGGAAUUUUCAGUCAAGAACUUAGCCGGAUUAUUUUCCGAUCAAAAGCUUAUAGAAGAAUUAACUGCUAGUUAUUUUCAUUAAGGUUUGUUGUUUUAUAACCUUGUUCUAGUUCCUCUGCUCGGCGGGCUUCUAAUUGUUUUGAUGAAUAAAAAUUUGAAUUUUGAUUCAGGGUGUGUUAUCAAUUUUUUGUCAAAUUAGAGCUUUUUCUUAUGUAUUAUGUGUAAUUGUUUCAAAGGGUUGGUUUUUUUUCCAUGGAAAUGACAAAGAUUGUUGCUUUUUCGUGUUUUAAUCGUGGUGCUUUUUUGCGUUUUCAGGUUUUGCUUUACAAAUUUGAGCUAAAUUAUGGGUAUUGUAUAGAAGGUCGUUGCGUUACGGUUUGUUUGCAUAAUUUCAGCGUUGUCUUGGAAGCAAAAGCCCAGGGAAUGCUGGAAGAUGUGCCUAAGUGCGGACUCUGCCUCACAACUCCAUGAGGUUGUGUCUAUAAUCGAACUGCCCUUCUUGAUUCUUGCUGGUGGGGAACCCGUAAUUCAUAGCUGGUUUGUUCUCGGUUCCCAGAAGCAAGUUGGGCCUCUUAUUAUGCACGCAGCACCGGUUGUGUUAAUGCAUGACCAUUGUGAAGAUGGUUGAGCUUCUGGUGGUAUUAUAAACUCCUGCUCUGUAGAUUGUGGAUCAUACGCAGGAGGAAGUAGUGUAUUUAUUGUUUAUUAGGUUUAGAUCGGGAUGGAGAAUAAAUCGCAUGUGCUGAUGCAAAGAUAUGAGCUAGGGAGAUUGCUGGGUCAAGGCACAUUUGCCAGGGUUUACUAUGCAAGGAGCUUGAUAACUAAUCAGGGUGUGGCCAUUAAGGUUAUUGACAAAGAAAAGAUUAUGAAGGUCGGGCUGAUGGAUCAGAUCAAGCGAGAAAUCUCUGUUAUGAGACUGGUUAGACACCCUAAUAUUAUACACCUCUACGAGGUCAUGGCAACCAAAACUAAGAUAUACUUUAUCAUUGAAUAUGCUAAAGGUGGUGAGCUGUUUAACAAGGUCGCUAAAGGAAAGCUGAAGGAGGAAGUUGCAAGGAAAUAUUUUGCGCAGUUAAUCAAUGCUCUUGAUUUCUGUCAUAGUAGGGGUGUAUAUCAUCGGGAUAUAAAGCCAGAGAACUUGUUGCUCGAUGAGAAUGAUAAUUUGAAGAUCUCUGAUUUUGGGUUAAGUGCCCUCGCUGAAUGCAAGCACCAAGAUGGGCUACUCCAUACCACGUGUGGUACUCCUGCCUAUGUUGCUCCAGAAGUUAUUAACAGGAAAGGCUAUGAUGGUGUGAAAGCUGAUAUUUGGUCUUGUGGGGUUGUUUUGUAUGUAUUAUUGGCAGGCUAUCUACCAUUUCAUGAUUCAAAUUUGAUGGAGAUGUACCGGAAGAUUGGGAAGGCAGAAUUUAAAUGCCCAAAUUUUUUCUCACCAGAGGCACGUAGGCUACUGUGCAAGAUGUUUGAUCCAAAUCCCAAUACUAGGAUUUCCUUAGCCAAAGUUAGGGAAAGUCCUUGGUGCAGAAAGGGGCCAUACUCAAAAAAUAUGAAAUCUGAAAUGGGAAACAAGGAUGUGGCUCGUACGAGCGCAGAAGCUUCUACUUCCAGUGAGAAUAUUAUGGCUUCUGAGGAAAAGCAAGAACCAGGAAGACCUCCGAACUUGAAUGCUUUUGAUAUUAUCUCCCUUUCUGCUGGAUUUGAUCUGUCUGGCUUGUUUAAAAAAGAUCCUUUUUACAAAGAAGCAAGAUUCACUUCCAGACAACCUGCGAUGGUCAUCAUCUCCAAGUUAAAAGAAAUGGCUAAGCAACUGAAGCUGAAAGUGAAGAAGAAGGAUGACGGAUUGUUGAAAAUGGAUGGAUUAAAGGAAGGUAAAAAGGGGAUUUUGUCCAUAGAUACAGAGAUAUUUGAAAUCACUGCAACUUUCCAUCUUGUCGAGGUGAAGAAAUCAAGUGGGGAUACUUUGGAAUUCCAGAAGAUGUUGGACGACAUAAGACCUGCUCUCCGAGACAUAGUCUGGGUUUGGCAAGGUGAGGAAGAGCAACAGCUGCAGGAGGAGCAGCAACAACAACAACAAGAAAUCCAGCCACAUCCACAAGAAGAUCAACUGCCUCAGCAUCCGCCACAAUAGUAAAGUUACCAGCUUUCCCCAUGGUAUCAUAUUUUUGUUUGUACAUUUUACAGUCUGAUAAGUUUUCAACUUUGCAUGUUUGUCCUUGCAAGUGUCAUGACCGGCUUAAUAAACUUUGUUCCUCUUAUACGUACAUGAUUACAAUGAUAAUAUGAAAUCUCGAUUGUUGUUUUUGACAUGCUUGCAUUUUUCUGCAACCAUGAUCUAUUCAUGGAUUUCGAUACCAGUUCUAUAAUUUGACGAUAUUUGGAGAAUUAGUCAAGUCAAUAAUCACAGGAUAAGCACCAGUUACUCUGCUUUUCUUGCCGCAUAAACCGCUUCUGCAUUGGGGAGCUGGAGUCGUCAAAUCUAUUUCUUUUUAUUUCUCAUCAAACGAAUGGUAUUACCCCGGCUCCACAAGGCCUGAGAUAGCUUUUUCCGGGUGACUGAUCAUCACCGCAACCAUAGUUGUCAGUUGUCACCCUGCACGUUGGCUCAAUACAACGCUACUGGAAUUCAUAUCAUCAUUUCAUCCCCUUCCAUAUAUUCAUUUCGAAAAGGUCAUCAGAUAGUUUAAUGCAUUAAGGAUGCUCAAACUCUCACCUUCAUCUGUUCCGGGAGGCGAGGACAACCAACAUAAUGCUUGGUGUACUGGCUGGAAAACAAGUUUCUAAUAAUGUUAAAAAUUGAGAGGGGCAAGAAGCACCCCCCCCCCUCCCUCUCCCCUUCUCUCCUUUUCUCCGUUGAUGAAUCAAAGAAACAAAUUUCACUUUUUUAUUAGUAACAGAAAGGUCAUGGUUUGAGUCGUGAAAACAACUCUUUGGAAAACAAGGAUAAGGCCCAUAAGGGUGUGUACGAUAGACGUUCUUUGUCCCCCCCCCCACCCUCGCAAAACGAGGAGCCUUGUUGUCUUGGAGCCACCCUUUUAGUAGUAACAGCAAAACUAUGUGUACACGAAUAAGUCCUCCUAGGGUUUUAAAGCUUGCAGCAGCCUUGCCUGACUGACUGCUUUUUAUAUAGUUUGGUUGUGCCAGACCCAUUCAAAUUGAAACUGGAAAAAGACCUUCACAUUAAACGUAAUAAGAACAUAGUUCUCAAAAAAAUUGGAAUUUGGAACGUUCCCGAAUGCCAAUCUUUAUUAAUCCUCAAAUAAAUUUGAUCCCGGUCGAUCAAUAUAAUCUGGAACCAAAUUGAUCCCAGAUUUGGUACAAACUAGAGUCGAACCAAACUGGAAACACCCUCAGAUGAAACACAAUUAAGUAUUUUAGAGUCCCAAUAGCAGGCCCUUGAAUAAAAACGAAAGUGCAUAAACAGAUGCAAACAACAACAACAACAAAGCCUUAUUCACUAAGUUGGUUAGGCUGGCAAUUGAAGUACAACCCCUUGAACCGACGCCAUGUAUUUUCAUCGACGCACCAGACAAGUCACUACAAGCUUUCACCAUCUUUUGAGAACCUGUAACAAGAAGUUUCAUUGUGCUCAAUGCUCAUGCAUGGCUCUGAGAAAUGUCUCUAAGGAAGGCACUGAUGUUCGUUUGAGAUGAUCCGCCUUCGUCAAUGGCAUGACAUAUCUGCUUAAGUUCUUUGGCCCUUCUCCUCAUCUCUCUCCCUUCAUCAUCCUCCAAAUCCAUAAACUUCUGCGCCAGCCCAGCAAUCUCCUCUCUUGUCACCAAAUGGUCCAUUCUGUCCUCAGCCUUCCUCAACCUCCACCCAACUUUCCAAUCCUCCACAAUCAUAUUACUAACCAUGCCUUGAUCCAUAAGUAACGGAAACGUCAGAAACGGGACACCAGCAAAAACAGCUUCCCUAACUGAGUUCCAACCACAAUGUGUCAAAAACCCACCAACACUAGAAUGGCACAAAACCCUCAACUGCUCACACCAAGGGACUACCAAACCCAUGUCGCCACAAGCAUCUUUUAACCUAUCCGUUUCCCCACGAGCCACCCAAAUGAACCGAACCCCACUCAUGCGUAAACCUACUGCAAUCUCAUCCAUUUGGGCACCUGAAAAAGAAAGAAAACUUCCCAUGGAGAUGUACAGAACAGAGCUGCAAGGUUGAGAAUCUAGCCAUCGUAGAUAGUCGAUGCCAGCACUCGGGUGAUCGUUAGAUUUUCCGUAGGGUAUUAAUGGACCAACUGUGUAAAUGGGUAGUGAGAACUUUGAUCUUAAAACGUCGAUGACUUGGGGUUCAAGCUCAUAGAUGGAGGGGAAUAAGAGAGACUGUGCUUUAGGCACCCAUGAGAAAUCUUCGUGGAUGUGGUGGAGAAUCCUUGGGGAUAUUCGAUUCAUGAAAUGAGGCAGGUCUGCUAGUCGUGUUGAAGAAACUCCUGGGAUGUAGUCCACCCGUUCAUUGCCCCUCUCUAUAAACACACAGGAGAGCAAAAAAAAUUAGAAAACGACAUGGAGGGCACAAAAUUGUGACCCAUGCGGUGAAAAACUUUCUUACAAACUCAUGAACUUUGUUGUUAAGACUUAAGCAUGCUCGAUCUAGUCCAAAUCGAACUUCAUCCUAAUUUUGAGCAAGUUAUGGGUUAACAUGUUAUUUUAAAACAUUGAAGCUCUUGAAAUGACCGUUUCACCAUUCCACAUGAGACACACACCGGUAAAACUUAAAAAGAGAACAAAAUUAGAUUGUUAAGUUUGAUAUGGAUGAUAUCGACAAGAAGUUUAACCACAAGGGCAUUGUUAACAUACAUUGAGCUUUGAUCCCAAAAUUAGGAGAGGCUAUCUAGAAAUUCUUUUAUUUUAUUUACACAAGCAUAAAAUUAGGGAGGAAUAUCGAUCACGUACCCAUAAAAAUGUAUAAGGCUAAAAAUAUGGGACUUGGCUUCUCUGUCCUCUCACUUCCCAUACACUCUUAUCUCCUCCUAUUUGUGCGGUCACGGUUAACUCACGUCAACAUUUUAUAUUACUAUUGUUUUUUAUCUUAUUAUUUCUAUAAAAAAAUCAAUAUAAAAUGUUGACGUAACUUAACCGUAACCGCACAAAAUAGGAGGGGAUUGAAGUGUAUGGAAAGUGGGAGGACAAAGAAGUCGGUUCCAAAAAUAUGUGUUAACUUACUACUUAAUCUAAUGGUACUUCUCUUUUCAUGGCGCCAGAUAUCCAAGCUUUCGACUUUCUAGCUAUAUUUAUAUAGCUACAAUUUUUAUAUUACGUAUAUACUAGCAUAGGCUGUAUAGCUAACUAAAAUAACUAAAAAUCAGCACCAAAAAGGAAAGAAAGAACAGAUAAAAAAACAACAUUCUUCAGAACAAUCAGAUAUGUUACCCAAAAGAGAAGUCAAUGUGACAGAGACACUAACCUAACAAUUCAACCGGAUAGUGCCCAUUUUGCGCUAAAAGAUCAAAAUGUUGGAAAACGGAGAAAAGGGACGCCGGCAUCGGCCAAAACGACGCCGCCGGGAUACUCCUCCGGUUCCCGACACGGACCGCCCAAGGCAGGAAAGUGUCGGCCACGAUCAGGCACGGAGGCGGCUCGAGCCGAUCCAUGAGCCGCUCGAACGGGGCCUCCAUCUUCGUCAUGAUGGCGUCGAUGAAGCCAUCCAUGUCGGCGGCGCGGACCAGCUCCGACGGGACGACGUUGGGAAUCGUGGUGAGUCGAAUGUUGUCCGGGGUGGCUUCGGAACCGAUGAAGCCGAGCCAUUCCUCCGUGACGACGAAGGUGAUGAGAAUGUCAGGCUUUUGUGAAGUCAGUAGCUUGCAGAGGUUCAUCAUCGGGUUGAUGUGGCCCCGACCGGGAUACGGCAUGGCCACCACGUGGCAGAUAGGGGCUCUCUGGUCUCUGGCGGGGUUCAUGUCUGCGUUUAUGAAGAAGAAGAUGUAACUUUGUAGUUAUAACUUAUAAGAGUGGUUAUAUAGAGAGGUAGGUACAGAGGAGAAAGAAGGCAGUUCGAACUGAAAUUAAGUUGGGGUUGCUUGAUGGGUAUGGUUGGCGACUCCAUUGAAUAUUCAAGGUUCCGUAUUUGGCUUGCUUGCUUGAUUUGGUAAAGGGAUUCUCUUGUGACGGAUCCAAGACGAUUAUGGCAUUUUUAAUGAUAAAUUGUUAAUUAUGAUGUUUAUAUUAAGAAAGGAAAAUUGUUAUUGGUAUUCUACAAUUGUCAUUUGACACUACAAAUUUUUUAUGUUUAGAAAGAACAAUACACGUGUGAAAUGCAAAUUGAGAUUUAUAGAGUCUAAGAACGGUUUUCUAAGACUAUCUCCAACACUUGGGCUAAAAGUUAAAUUUUUUAGUCCGGAAAAUUUAGCUUUUGGCUUAUAUCCCAUAAACAGUUUUUUUACUCCAACCCUUCUGGCCUAAAAUUUUAGCUCAGGAUUAUUAAAGAAUGAAUUUAGGCUAAUUUUUUUCUUAAAUUAACUUUAAAAAAAAUUAUGUAGACUAUCGUAAAUUAAUUUUACGAACAUUUUAAGCUAAAAAUAUUUAAAUUCCGAUUAAUAUUGAAAAAUUACUAAAUCGAUAUGUGAAACUCAUGAAACACUGUGAUGAAUAUGAAAAUCAUGAUAGAGAUGUAUAAACACAAAAUACAUAAAACACACAAGGUACACAGAACACAUGUGAAACACAUACAAAACACAUUUAAAACACGUACACAUGUGAAAGACAUACAAAACACAUGAUAGAGAUGAAGCACACAUAUAACACAUGUGAAACACAUGACACACACGAAACACAUACAAAAUACAUACAAAGCAAGCCUUCAACUUUCACCAAUCGAUCAACUUUCACCAAUCUUUCAACAAACUUUCAACUUUCACCAAUCGUUCAAUUUUCACCAAGGAUUUGGUUGAGCAUGUAUGGCGCCGAGAAGGUGAACGUUGAUGAUGUUAGUUAAGCAUUUAUGAACGUUGAUGAUGCUGGUUAAGCAUUUAUGUAAUAAUUUUAAAUAUACUAUGUUGGUAUUUUCUAGUAAUAAAUUUAAGUGUCUUCUUGUGCAAAGUAUUUUGUGUAGUACAUUGGAUAAAUUAUUGAAUGGAGAUUGAAUUAUUGAAGACAUCUAUUCUACAUCAAAGUGCGGAAUAAUAAAUACAAUAAUUAUUGAAGGCAUCUAGAUUAAUAUAAACAAUAAUUCAUAAGCCAUAAAUUUAAUACACAUGACAAUUAAUAAAGUACAUAAACUUAAUACAAACGACAAUUAAUAAACCACAUAAACCACAUAAACUUAAUAUAAUCGAUAAUUCAUACACUACAUAAACUUAAUAAUGAUAUCUACUAUCUUGACUUGGUGGUGGACUUGGGAUAUAGAGUUGAGAUGAUAUACUCCUUGUAGCAUACUUUCGCAAAAUUUCAUUUUGCUUACCACGUAAGAACUUCUUCAUUUUUAGAGUGUAUUUGUUGAGGUCCUCAAUCAUGAAAUUAAUUUCAAACCUAUCUUGCUCCCUAUCCCCUUCUUCCUUCAUUUGCAAACGCAUUUGGGCCGCUUCUUUUUUGCGAGCGCUAUGGGUUUCGCUCAAUCUUGCAAUUAUUUUAGUUAUUUUAGCCGUUGGAUUUAAAUUUGGGCCGUUAGAUUAUUUUUACCGUUAUAUUUGAUUAUUUUCGAUCUCAGCCGUUGGAUUCAAUGUAUUUUAAAAUUACAUUUUUUUUAAAAACAAAAUUUGAAUUUGGACCGUUGGAUCAACCAACCAAUGGUUCGUAAAGCCCAGCUGUAGGAUGUAGAAAAGAGCCGUUGGGCUCUGGUUGGUGGCCGACAGCGGCCCUGAUAGUGGGCCCCCCUGUCAGGCGCUGAAGCCAAACGGCUCGUGUGGGGCGAGUGCGCAAGUGAACGGGCCGAGAUUGGGCUCCCUUUGGGUGAGUCCACGCGUUUGUGGGCUAUUUCUUAGGGGGGUAUUUGGCCUUGGUUUGGCAUUUGGCUUGGGUUGGGUUUUUUUGGGGGGGGGGGAGGGUGGUAUAAAUGAGGUAAUUUGGCAAAUAGCCCAGGGUUAAGUGUGGUCUAAGAAAGAUCAUUUAUAUAUGUUGCGAAACUUUUCAAACUCUUUUAAAAUCUUUCCAAAAUCUCAAUUGAAUAUGUAAUCUUUUAAAUGUGUUAUUCAUGUUCAAAAAGUAUUAGACUAUUAAAAUACUGAGUCAGGUAUCAACACUUAAAAGUGAACAAGUGCAUGUGUGGAUCCACGUAGGUACGAGUGGUCCUGAGACAAACCUGAGGUAGGAAAAAAAAGCUAGUGAAGGUCCUUCGUGGACUAUUCAGAUGUUUUGUGUCCAUCCAAUGUUUAAUGAAUGAAUGUUUGGCAUAUAUAGAUAUCAUUUUGCUGGACGUGUCGAUUUCUCUUAACACAAGUUGCAUCAAUCAGCAAAGGAUCUCGACAGCACUUAGUAGAUACAUCUACGUGGCACGGCUCGAUAGAGGACAAUAAGCACAUCAAGCGCUCGACGUAAUUUCCUUUUUGAAACAAAAAAAAAAAAAAAAAACUAAAACAAGAUCUGCACGUUGCGUGCUAUCUUUGUUAGAAAAAUGAAGAUCAUUAAACCAAGACCCCUCAAGGUUAGAAUUUUGAAUCUGUCAAUUAACAUGUGCCUAGAAGUUUUAAACACUUUCAUCACAAACAUCAACAAAAAGUAGAGUUUUAUUUGAUAGAAAAAGAGAACAAAACAAGAAAUGCUCAAUCCUCACGCACGCCCUCUGCGAAAUGACUAAUGAAGGCCUUGAUGAUGGUAUGAGAUGAUCCACCUUCUGCAAUGGCAUCAUGACAUAACUGCUUAAGUUCUCUGGCUGUCCUCCUCAUUUCCUCCCUUCAUCAUCCUCCAAAUCCAUAAACUUCUUCACUAACCCUGCAAUAUCCUCUGUUGUCACUAUCCUCAACCUUCCUCACCCUCCAUCCAACCCUCAAUUGGUCACACCAAGGCACUACCAACCCCAUGUCACCACAAACCUCCUUUACCCUAUCGGUUUCCCCACGAACCGGCCAAAUGAACCGAACGCCACUCUUGCACAAACCGGCUGCAAUCUCGUCCAUUUGGAGUCGGACGCUAGAAACUGAAAGGAAACUUCCCAUGGCGAGGUACAAAAUGGAUGCAGGAAAAUAAGCAAGGGUCUCGAAGAGACGAGGGAUAGAACCUGGGAAUCGCUCAACCAAAGGCAACGGAGCUUGCUCAACCUCGCUAAUCGUGAAUUCACUCACACGAUCAAACCAAACGCUUGAUUUGAGAAGAAAGAAAAUACUCUUUUCGGUUGCACAAAGCAAUAUAUUUGUAAUUAAUCGUCUCCCAAAUGCUUGUAUUUCAUCAUAAGAGACUCACCAUAAUUUAGAUGAACUUAACAAAUUCCCGAAGUAAUUAAAAUAGACAGCCUUUAUUAUUCCCAAAGCAUAGUAGUGGUCUUCAAAUUGUUUUCUUCAAGGCCUGCCUCUCCCUCAUAAAAAACUGAGCUACAAGGUUGAGAGUCUAGCCAUUGGAAUAGUUAGCAUCACUAGUUACUUGGGUAGGAGGGUCAUUUUGCUCAUAGUAGGGUAUUGAUGGGCCCAUAGUGUAAAUGGGUAGUGAUAAUUCUGAUCGUAAAAUGUCGAUGGUUAGGGUUUCAAGUUCAUAGGAGAUGGCAGAGAAUAGCAGGUAUUGUGCUUUAGGUACCCAGGAAAAUGAGUUAAGCAAGAAUAUUUCGGUUGCUUUCAUAGAUGAACUGAGGGAGGUGCGCUAGUCGUGUCGAAGAAACUCCGGUAAUGUAGCUCACACGUUUAUUUCCCUGAUCUGUUAACAAUGCAAAAUUGUUGUUAUAAGUAGCAAACUUACACAAUAAAAACGAAAUCUUAAACGAAAUGUUAGACUUACAACACGAGGAUGUGCUCCUGUCAUAUACGUAAAACUAUCAGUUAACACUCACUAAUAUCUUAAGAAAAAUGUUCUCUUCCUGCACGUUGGCUCAAUUCAACACUACUGUCAUCAGAAAUUGUGGUAGCGACACUCAGAAGAUGGCACUCUCACCGGUGAUGUAAUAAAACCAAAUUGCAGUGUGCAAUCUUCUCUUACUUCUUGAUUGCAUCCAUAUAUGGAAGCUAGAACUUAAAAAUAAGUCCUCCAGGGAUUUUAAAGCUUGCAGCGGCCAUGCCUAACUGCUUUUUAUACAGUUUGGUUGUGCCAGACCCGUUCAAAGUGAAACAGGAAACACCCUCAUAUGAAACAUAAUAAGAACAAAAUUCUCAAGAAAAUUGGAGUUUGGAAAGUUCCCGAAUUCCAAUUUUUAUUACUCCUCAAAUGAAUUUGAUCCCAAUCAAUCAAUAUAAUCGGGAACCAAAUUGAUCCCAGGUUUGGUUCCCAACCAAACUGGAUACACCCUCAGAUGAAACACAAUUAAUUAUUUUAGAGUGCCAAUAGCAGCCCCUUAAAUAAAACCAAAAGUGCAAAACCAGAUACAAACAACAACAAAAAAGCCUUAUCUCACUAAGUGGAGUCGGUUGGCAAAACUAGAUGCAAACAUUCCACAUAGUUGAGAAUGCACUUGAAGUACAACCCCUUGCACCGACAGUUUGUAUUUUCAUCGACGCACAAGACAAAUCACUACCAGCUUUGCACCGUCUUUUGAGAACCAGCAACAACAAGAUUCAGUGUGCUCAAUGCUUAUGCAUGGCCUUGAAAAAUGUCUACAAUGAAGGCAUUGAUGUUCGUUUGAGAUGAUCCGCCUUCUUCAAUAGCAUCAUGACAUAUCUGUUUAAGUUCUCUGGCCCUUCUUCUCAUUUCUCUCCCUUCAUCGUCCUCCAAAUCCAUAAACUUCUGCGCCAGCACAGCAAUCUCCUCGCUAGUCACCAAAUGGUCGAUUUUGUCCUCAGCCUUCCUCAACCUCCACCCAACUUUCCAAUCCUCCACAAUCAUCUUACUAACCAUGCCUUGAUCCAUACGUAACGGAAAGGUCAGAAACGGGACACCAGCAAAAACACCUUCCCUAACCGAGUUCCAACCGCAAUGUGUCAAAAACCCACCAACACUAGAAUGGCACAAAACCCUCAAUUGUUCACACCAAGGCACUACCAAACCCAUGUCGCCACAAGCAUUUUUUAACCUGUCCGUUUCCCCACGGGCCACCCAUAUGAACCGAACCCUACUCAAGCGCAAACCGCCUGCAAUCUCAUCCAUUUGGGCACCUGAAAAUGAAAGAAAACUUCCCAUGGAGAUGUACAGAACAGAGCUGAAAGGUUGAGAAUCUAGCCAUUGUAGAUAGUUGAUUCCAGAACUCGGGUGAUCGUUGGAUUUGAUGUAGGGUAUUAAUGGACCAAUUGUGUAAAUGGGUAGUGAGAAUAUUGAUCUUAAACGUCGAUGACUUGGGGUUCAAGCUCAUAGAUGGAGGGGAAUAAGAGAUAUUGUGCUCUAGGCACCCAUGAGAAAUCUUCAAGGAUGUGGUGGAGAAUGUUUGGGAAGAUUUCACUAAUGAAGGGCAGGUCUGCUAGUCGUGUUGAAGAAACACCUGGGAUGUAGUCCACACGUUCAUUUCCCCUCUCUAUAAACACACAGGAUAGCAUAAAAAUUUAAAAACAAAAUGGAGGGCACAAAAUUGUGACCCAUGUGGUGAAAAAGAUUCUUAGUACAAACUGAACUUUGUGGUUAAGCAUGCUCGAUCUAAUCCAAAUCGAACUUUGUAUCCUAAUUUUGAGCAAUCUAACCGGAACUGGAUCCAAAAGGAUCUGAGUCCAUUAAUUAAUGAAUCUGGACCAUUGAUAUUUGAUACAACGAUUACAAUUAUUAUAACUUUAAAUGAAUCUUCUGUUUGUAAUCGUUAGAUCAAAUUUCAAUGAUCCGAAUUCAUUGAUUAGUGGGCUCUGGAAUGAAUCUAGUUCCAAUUUAACCCAUGUGGACAUCAUGUGCAAAGAUGAAAAGAUCAUUUUAAGACGUAUAAGCUUGUUAAUUUAUAUCUUAAAACUUGCUUGAAAAGAUCGAUUCACCUUUCUACAGGAAGCACACACUAGUUAAACUUAGUAGUGGACAAAAUUAGAUUGUUAGGUUUGAUGUGGAAGCACACACUGGAAUGAACGUUUCACUCUUUCAUGAAGUACUUUAAAUUCUUUUUCAAGAUUUCUUUGAGUUUUUAUUAAAUAUUAGUUCUAAAAACAUUUUUAUCAAAAAUAUUUUAAAUUAUUUAAAAAUAUAUCUAAAUAAGUUUUAAGAUAAAAAAAUGCGUUCGUAUAAAAAUUAAAAAUUAAAAAAAAAAGGGACAAAGACACUAACCUAACAAGUCAACCGGGAAAUGCCCGUUGUCUGCUAAAAGAUGAAAAUGUUGGAAAAAGGAGAAAAAGGACGCCGGCAUCGGCCAAAACGACGCCGCCGGGAUACUCCUCCGGUUCCCAACACGGACCGCCCAAGGCAGGAAAGUGUCGGCCACGAUCAGGCUCGGCGGAGGCUCGAGGCGAUCCAUGAGCCGCUCGAAUGGGGCCUCCAUCUUGGUCAUGAUGGCUUCGAUGAAGCUGUACAUGUCGGCGGCGCGGACCAGCUCCGACGGGACAACGUUGGGAAUCGUGGUGAGUCGGAUGUUGUCCGGGGUGACUUCGGAUCCAAUGAAACCGGACCACUCCUCCGUGACGACGAAGGUGAUGAGGAUGUCAGUCUUUUGUGAAGUCAGUAGCUUGCAGAGGUUCAUCAUCGGGUUGAUGUGGCCCCGACCGGGAUACGGCACGGCCACCACGUGGCAGAUAGGGCCUGUCUGGUCUUUGGUGGAGUUCAUGUCUGGGUUUAAGAAGACGACGACCUAACUCUGUAGUUGUAUAUAACUUUGUUUGGACCCAAAUUUACAUCAUCGGCCCAUGUAAUCAAAGCCGUUGAGUAAACGUAGUUCUCAACCGUCGGAUGGAAAAGUGGAGAUAAUUUUUAUUGUUAAAGGAUAAUAUUAUGAUUUUUAUCAUAAUAUUUAUCGUUUAAAAAAUUAUCUUGAUUUUUUCUUGUACAAGAUGAGGUGCAAAUUAUAUCUUCAAAGUGAGCAGUACAGUUCUAUUUAAUUUGGGGUUCUUGGGAUUUAAACGUGAGGUAGAUUAGAGCAUCGGAGUAUUUUAUUGUUAUUAUCCAUUUAAAAGUGGGUGAUAAAUGGUGGAUAAAUGUUGUUGAGCACGUAGCUUGGAAUCGAUCAAGAUGGUUUGUUGAGAUGCAUGCAUGAUGCAUGGAUGGGAUGAAAUUAUGAGAUAAAAUGAAUUUAAUAUUCAUUUAAAGGAAGCCUAGAAACGUAGGUCUUUUUGGUGAUGUGAUGAUACGGUAGGCUAGGUUUUUAAUGCUUAUUUCUUGGGUUGGUUCCGUGAAGAUGGAUGGAGGAAAGCAAGUGGUGAAGCCACGUCACCAAAGAUCAAAUCCUUUAUAGAUCAAGUCACGUCAGAUAUGGGAAUUUGAAAUAAGAGUCUGAUCCACGUCAAGAAAUUCUCACGCAAUACUCGGCAGCACAUCCCUAUAAAUACAGAGGCAGUAGCAACGAAGAGAACACCCCCACAAAAUCAAUACAAAAUUGCCCUGCGCAAACUUUCACAACUUGUGAUUUUUUUUUUUUCCUUUUUCGCUGACACAUCUUCCGUUGGCAUCAACAGCACUGUGGAAGCAACCGGUGAUAUCUUAAGUCGGCAUAGAUAGCUCUGUCACCGUAGAGUCAGUCAGUCUCGCAGUACCUUCCGUUGGCAUCAACAGCACUGCGGCGAGAACGAUUGAUUACCUAUCCAAGUCUCGGUCGAGAAGGGUUUCUAAAUCCUUAUUGGUCGAGGUCAUCUCAUCAGCCUUCUCGGCGAAGUGAGGUGUUACAGUUAUUACAUUCGGCACAUUGAAAGCCGAAUUUGAUAUUGAACUUCGUAAGAAUAGUAACCUUGUCUUCAGGUUCGAGAGCCCAAGAGGCCGAGACGUGUUCCUUUCUCGGCCGCAAUCGCAAGACGCAGAAGUCAGUAGCGCGACCCAACGCAACAUCAACAAAUUUACUCCUCGGCCGACGAGUUGGCACGCCCCGCAUUCACCGAAGGACGUAGUUAGCUCAUUAAUUACUCGGCUUGCGCGCCACGUAGGCUUUGUAGUUUCUAGGGUCAACAAACUUAUAAGUGGUUAUAUAGAGAUGGAUAUAUACAGAGGAGAAAGAAGGCAAUUACAUCUGAAAUUAAGUUUCCAACUUUCCAUUGUUGGCUUGGCUUGCUUGAUUUGAUCAAAAUACUCUCUUUUUAUGAAGGACUUAGAUUGUCUGUCCUCACAUCGGCUUAGAUUGUCUGUCCUCACAUCCCAUAUCAUUUCCAUGUCCUUUUAUUUAUGUGGUCAUGAUCAAGGUAUAAAAUAUCGAUGAUAUCGGAAAUAUCGGUAAUUUAAAAACACGGAAAAUUCGAUGGAAAUAUCGGAAUAUUAUCGAUAUCAAUAAAAAUUAAAUAAAAACCACGGAAAUUGUAAGAAAAACUUGGAAAUUUUUAUUGAAACUUUGCAGGAUGUUUAUUUAGUCAAUUAUCUAUUAGUUUAUCCCAAAACAAUUGGAAGGAAAUGCAUUGGAUGAUAAAUAUAACUGAUUUAAGUUGAAUAUAUAACGAGCUGGCAAACAUUGUGAGUGUAGAAAAUAUGUAGUAAUUAAUGAAAAAAGUUUAAACACACCAUAAUCAUUUAUAUAUAAUGAAUUAGUACAAUAUUUUACACUUUAUACAUUGCAUAGUAAGAUACAUGAGUGACUUAGCAAGGUCUAAAAUAUCGAUGAUAUCGGAAAUAUCGGUAGUCCAAAAAAAUAUCGAUAGUCCAAAAACACGGAAAUUUCGAUGGAAAUAUUGGGAUAUUAUGGAUAUUUUAGACCAUGGUCAUGAUUAAGCCACAUCAACAUUUUAUAUUCUCAUUACUUUUUAUCUUCUUAUUCUUUUAUAAAAAAUCAAUAGAAAUAUUGAUAUAACUUAACCGUAACCAUAUAAUAUAAAAGGGCAUGAGACAAACAUGAAAUGGAGAGAACAGACAUUCCAAGUUCUUUUAUGAAAGCUUGCUUGAUUUGAUAGAAAUAUUUUUUUAUAAUGAAAACGAUAAUAUUGCAUUGAUAGCAAAGUUACAAAAAGAAAUGCUAGGGAAGUCUUUCAAAAGUGAAGUUUUUCACAAAUUCUUUGACACUUAACAUUUUUGAGAAUUAUUUUUUAAGAAAACUAAUGAAAAGAGUUUGAAAACUUUGAGUUUUAAUGAUAAGGACAAAAUAAAGAGUAAAGUAAAUAGUAUCAGAUUUGACUUUUUAGUGUAAAAAUGUAAUUUUUCGUUAAAGUGAACAGUACCAUGGGCUUUUCGUUAAAACCCCCUUAUUUUUUACAUUGUUUUAUAAUGUUGAUACGGAAAUUGACGUUAAACUAUGAAGUGACAAAAAAUUGAUAAUGAGUCUCUAUUUUGAAAAAAUCCUUUUAGCAUUUCUCUUUUAGCACAAAAGGAGAACACAAAGGUCAGUCCAUUACCAUUGAUGAACAUCCUCCAAGAUCACAUCGGCUAUAAAGCCGGGAGGUGCAUCUAACCAAAUACAAGGACUAACAGCUCCAAGGGCAUAACGAGCUAGAUGAUGAGCAACAUUAUUGGCUUGACGACUGACUUGGGUAUAAGAAUCCUUAGCGAUCCUCCUCAGCCUCCUCAGUAGGUCUCUGGAAUCUUCAAAAAUAUGGCCAAUGGGAGACAUAUUAAUGGAAGGAUCCUUUAGUGCCGAGAUAAUCUAAAGCAAAUCGCUUGUGAUGGAACAAAGGCGAUUAUAAGUUUUUCACGAUGAAUCGUUAAUUUUUUUGUUUUGUAUGAACAGUUAAAUCAUUUUUAAACUAAAGUACUUUUCUAAAUUAAUUUUUAAAAUAAGAUAAAGAGAAUAAACAAUGUCAACUAUGACGUUCAUUACGAAAGAUGUUGCAUUAAUGAGGAAGGAGAUCUUCCCCCUUUAAUAAGAAUGAACUCUCCAAUAAGAAUGAGAAAUAGCACUAUCCUUCCUAAUAGCACUUAGAACGUGAACAAAUUUCUUUGUUCAAUUAUGUAUAGCAUGUCAAGUUCAUUUUUUUCUUUGUUAGAUAGUGUAGAUGUUAUACUGCCAAGAACGUGAACAAAUUUCUUUGUUCAAUUAUGUAUAGCAUGUCAAGUUCAUUUUUUUCUUUGUUAGAUAGUGUAGAUGUUAUACUGCCAAACUUUUAAAACACUUUUAAAAUCUUUAAAAUUUCAAUAGAAUAUACAGUCUAUUAAACAUGUGAUUCAUGUUCUCAUGGUAAAUACUGAGCCAGGUAUGAACACUUAAAGCAACACAAGUGCUUGGGCAGAUCCACGUAGAAACCAGUGGUCUCGGACGCUCUUGAGUUCGGAAAAAUGCUAGUGAAGGUCUUCUAUGGACUCUUUAGAUGUCUAGUAUGAAUUUUUUUUUUGUGCCAACCAUUUAAUUAAGGUAACUUUAACGAAAAACUCAUAGUACCGUUCAUUUUAACGAAAAACCAUAUUUUUACACUAAAAAGUCAAUCAUUGUACUAUUCACUUUAUUUUUUAUUUUGUUCUUAUAAUUAAAACUCAAAGUUUUCAAGUCAUUUUCAUUAGUUUUCCUUUUAAUUAAUGCAUGUUUGUCAUAUCUCGAUACACUCUGCAUGACGCGUCGAUAUCUGUCGGUAAGAUGCAUCACUCGACAUAUGGUCACGACAGCACUUGGUAGAUCUCAACAUCUACGUAGCAUGCCUCGACAAAGGACGAUAGAAACACCAAGUGCUCCACGAAUUAUGAAUCUGCCACUGAACAAGUGACUACAAGUUUUAAACACUUCCAUAAGAAACAUCAAGAGUUUUAUUUGAUAGAAAAGGAGUUAAGAGCACACAUUGGAAGGAAACUUAUUUAGAUUCUACACUAUUUUACAUACCAGAUACAAGGCUAAUUUGCAUACUGAACCUCCAAGCCCAAGUAGAUAUAUACCACGCACAGCCAUGUUAAAUGGAUCAUGGAUAAGGAAGUCGUGUCUCCAUUUGAAGAUUGCAGGUAGCUUUGCCAAUAUCCCUGAUAAAAUCAUCAAGAUUUGUAUCAGAUGAACCUCAUUUUGCAAUCACUCGGUGUCACAAAUCUCCGAGCUCUUUCGCUCUUCUCCUCAUUUCAGUCCCAUCACUGCUUUCAGGAUCCAUAAAUCUCUUCACAAGUUCAGCAACCUCUUCUCUUGUCAUCAACUUUUCAUCAUGUACCUCUGAUUUAACCCUCUUGCCAAUCUUCCAUCCUUCAACUAUUUGCCAGUUGUUUGGAAUUUGAUCGGGAAAAAGAGGAGAAGUAAGCAUUGGGACACCGGCGAAAACAGCUUCUAAAGUCGAAUUCCAUCCACAAUGUGACCAAAACCCACCCACAGAAGAAUGGCACAACACUUUAAGUUGCUUACACCAUGGCACCACCAACCCCAUACCAUCACUACCACUACAGCUCUCACUCAAUCGAGCCACCUCCCCCAACACAACCCACAAGAACCGAACCCCCGCUACAUUUCAGCCCGGCUGCGAUUUCAUCCAUCUGCAUGUUUGAAACAGAAAGAAAACUCCCCAAUGAGAUGUACAAGAUAGAGGCUAUUGGUUGGGAAUCAAGCCAUUUCAUAUAGUCAAUGCCAUUGUCACCAACUGACACAGAGGAAUUUUUUCCAAGCUCCAAGUAAGGUAUGGCAAGACCAAUUGGGUACACAGGGAAUGGGAGUUUCUCCUGGAAAGUGUUUGUGGCUAGAAUUUCCGUUGGGGAUGUUUCCUAGCGGACGAACACACAGCUCCCCGAGAGGUUGGCGCAGGUUGAUACUUUCUGUCGGGCUUCUGCUCACUGGCGGGCUUGUCGGGCAAAGCUUGUCGAGCAAGGCUUGUCGGGCAAGGCUGAAAGAAAAGGACAUGGUUAACUUUGAAAGGUGUCUUUAUAGGGCCUUAGGUGUAGGCCUUUAGGCUCACAAUUAAGAUUAACUUUUAGGUGUUCAGGCGUGCCAUUGCCAUCUUCAGCAUGGCAGAUGUAAAACAGAUGUUGAGUUUUAAUUGUAUAUAUACCCGAGAAGCUGUUUUAGUUUAUGAAAAGUGCCUUUAUGGGGCCUUAGGUGUAGGCCUUGAGGCUCUCAAUCAAUAACUAACCCAGUACUCGAACAUAUAAUGUUUGUUUCAUUGAUUGCAUAAGUGUUAUGACUAUUAUACUUCUAAUUACCCGAGCCCGAAAAGUAGAAUGAAUCCAAAUAUGUGCCUUUGUAGGGCCUUAGGUGUAGGCCUUGAGGCUUCCCAUCAGAAUUACUUCUAUACUCAAAUGUUCUACGAUAAUCAUAAUAUAACAGAAAUAAAACUAGGAAAUAGGUCGAUUACUUGCGCCCCAAGUAACUUCGGACUUCUUCUUAUCAAAGACUGUCGUGGAUGGGUUAAAUCCACAUAAGGUUCUUUUUUAUGCCUUGAGACCAAGGACUUUUGAAUGAUCAAUCUUACAUGUCCGAGGGUUUAGAACUUAGAUCUUAUUUAAACUGUGAAUACAGAUUCCAAUCGAAUUCAAGAACUGAGGAGUCUUUUAAGCAUUAACUUGCUAGAAAUAACUUGGAUACCAAUGGAAGUAUACAACAUAUUACUAGACUUAUGAAUGAAAAGACAAAAACAAAGAGGGUCGGGCAAGGUUUCACCUUGUCGGGCAAGGCCUGUCGUCUUGCAACUUCCUAUCUUUAUGACUGAUAAAGGGGUUUGAGAGCUUAGAGAAAAGGAUAGGGGGAUGAGUUUACAGAAAGAAAUCGAUACUACAGUAAGAUUUAGACAAGGUAGCAGAGCUUUUACAAAGGCUUUAGGGUUGAUCCCGAAAGGGAUGAAAGCUUGGGCUGACUACGGCUUCGUUGAAGGCAAAUCUGGCUUGAGCAAAGUUUGUGCUUGUAUUUGUUUGUUUGUUUGAGUGUCCUCAUCUCUGAUUUCUCUUUCUUCCUUUAUAGACAGUUUGACUUGGCCUUCUGUAGCAUUAAUCUUGCCUGAAUGCAGCUUGAAGGGCAAUGACUCAUCAGUUUUUUACUUGUACUGCCACUGUAAAGUGAUUUUAGGCUGAUUAGCUGGCUGGUCUACACCACUUGGUCUCUAAGUAGGUGAAUAAGUGGUUCAAAUGAUCUGCACAUAGUCGGGAAAAGGCCUUUUCUGCCUUCUGGGCUUUGGCUGAGCUUCGGGCUCCUUUCCUCCUAGUCCUUCUUUUGGGCCAAUUCCCUUUUGAGCCCAAAGUUCAAGUUUUAACCCAAACAGAAAUAGUGGAAGGUUUCAGGUUCGAGCUUAUAAAUUGUAGUGAACAGAAAACACUGAGCUUUUGGAACCCAUGAAAUGCAUUCCAGAGCAAGCUUCAUGACUUUAGGGUCGAUUCUUCGAAACACUUCUCCAAGGUCUGCUAAAUCAGAUGAAAAAAUCCCUGUAAUUUGGUCUCUAGAAUCUAUCACAUAGAAACAGAAAACUCAAUUUCCAUAUUAAUUUCAAUUUGUUAGAAAAAGGAAGAUCUUUAAAGUAAGACCCCUCAAAGUUAGAAUUUUGAAUCAGUCAACUAACAUGUGCCUAGAAGUUUUAAACACUUUCAUCACAAACAUCAACAAAAAGUUGAGUUUUAUUUGAUAGAAAAAAAAAGAACAAAACAAAGGCAAACAACAAAACAAGAAAUGCUGACCAGGUGGGACAAGGAUUAAAAUACUCAGAACCAGGGAGAAAAAAGUCGACCAGGACCAACAAAGAUAACAAUCGCUGUUCUGGUUUUCUUCCAUUAAUUGUUGUGUUUUCGGCUGGUGAUUUAGUAAUAGGGAUGGUUGGGGAUUGUAUUUCCGCUUUGUUUCUUUAGUAUUAUUUUGGAUCAUUUUCGCCCCUUUCAAGCCCUAAUUAGUUUUUGUCAGAAUUGGGGGAAGGGUUUGGCCCAUGUGGUCCUUGUCUUAAUGGGGAAGCUGAGUUCCCUAAUCCCCGACAAAAUGAGUCGGAAGGGGAAUCUGACACAGAUGAUUAUGCCUGACUGUAAUGAGACGAAACCCAUAACUACUAAAGGCUUCAGGUCUUCAAUUUCCACCGGAUACAGGUUACUCCAACCACCAAUAUUAAUUGCCAUUAUCUUAUAUUUACAACAAACAAAAGAAACUGAUUGUGGGGUGGAAAAGAAUACUAUUUACUCUGUUGUUAGACUGGAAAAAGCCCAUUUGUUGCACUUGAAGUACUCUGCAGUGCAAACGAGUCAAACUUUGCAGCUCAAUUCGGAUAUGGCGCAGCAGGGAGUGGAGGAGCUUAUGGUUCAUUUGGAGAAAGCAAUGGACUUGUUAGCUAUGGAGCAAGGUGUUAAACUUGUGGGUUCGGUGCUAGCGAACAAACCUCUAAACAGAUGGGGAGUGAGGAACAUUCUACGUGCGACUUGGAAGAGUUAUGGUGAAAUAAAGAUCAAAUGGGUAAAAGACAACAUCUUUAUCAUCACGGUCCCAGAUGAAAGUGUGGCAGUAAAGAUUCUUGAUCAGGUGCUUUGGAGGGUUAUGAAAAAAAACUUCUUGGUCAAUAUUUGGCCCGCAGUGCUUGCUUUGGAGGAAGUUGAAGUGGAGAAAGUCCUGUUUUGGGUCCAUAUACGAGGAGUCCCUCUUUGCAUCACCUCUUUAGAGAAUGUCAAACGGUUGACUACAGAGGUGGGGACAUGUAUGGCUAUGGAAGAUCCAGUAAAAACUCGCAGGUUUUUUAAGGUUAGACUUUUGAUUGACUCGACCAAACCACUAGUUACUGGAUGCUGGUUAAGAAGAGAGAAUAAUUAAGAUACGUGGGUAGAAUUUUACUAUGAGAGAUUACAAGAUUUCUGCUAUAGAUGUGGACGCCUAAGACAUGUUAAUACGGAUUGCACUUUUAAGGCAGCCAAAGCCGGGGCAGCAGGUUUCGGAGAUUGGAUGAAGGAACCUCCAGUUAGGGAUGUGACGGAGGUAUCAAAAGUCAUGAUGACAGGAACGGGUGAUCGAAGGAAAGCUGGAGCGGUCAGACUGCCUGCUACAUAUUUAACUUCUUUAGGGACUACUAGGCUGGAUCAUUCCACAGAGUUUUCUGCGGAUAGUGUAAAGGAUAGGGAUAAGGUGCAAGUUCAGGGAGAAGGAAGUGCUAUCCAACCAAAUGGGAGGAAAAAGUGGCAAAUGAGGUCUCGUGACCAGAGACACAUCGAAGGUUCGGUGGGGAUAAAUAAUCAGCUACAUUGGCUUAUUCCACAGGGUGUAAGACAAUCGUUAUGGGGCACUGGGUCUAGUUGCUAUACUUUUUUUAAAAACUUGAAUGUGUAGCAGCCGGGGGCCGGUAUGCAAUCGGUUGUUAUACAUGAGAUCAAUGAGGAGACGACUACAUUGCAACAAGUGGCUGAUAGGGGUAAAGUAAAUGAUCAGGGAGAGGGUGGAUCCUUGACUUUCCCAGACUCUUCUCCUUCGGUUAGAAAUAGACAGAAAAAGGAAAAGGGAACCUCUAGUGAUGGAAAUAUCACAAUCUCCUCAAAAGAAGGGCAGGGGUUCUGAUAAUGCUUUCUCUGUAAAAGAUGCGGGUCUUCUGGCCUGGGAUGGUGGCGGCUGGCCCUCAACAACCGCAAAGUCCCCAUGAUCUUUCUAUUUUGGAACUGCCGUGGUCUGGGGUCGGACAUAGUAGUUCGGGCCCUUCAUGGGCAGAUAAGAAAUGCAAGACCCUCUAUGAUCUUUCUUUCUGAAACAAAGAUGAAAGAUCAUAGAAUUAAUGGAGUACGUAGAAUGAUGGGGUUCACGAAUGGGUUUAAAGUUCCUCCCAUGGGAAGGGUAGGCAGCCUAAGUUUAUGGUGGGAGGAUUCAAUAGAGGUGAACAUUCUCUUCUCCUCUAAACAUGUAAUUGAUGCUCAGGUGAAGUCUUGUGAGAUACAGCAAUGGGUUCGUGUCACUGGGAUUUACAGAACAGCUUAUAGAGGCGAAAAAGCGGAAUUCUGGGGAUGGAUGAAUGAUCACUUUACCUCUUCUGAUAUGCCCUGGCUUUGUGGGGGGGGGGGAUUUCAAUGAAUUUAUUUGGGAUCAUGAAAAAUCGGGCGGAGCUCAUGGCAAGGAAUGAGGAAUGGCGAACUAGUGGAGGAACGUCUAGACCGAGGUCUGAUAAACAAGAAAUGGCAGGAUCUUUGGCCAAAUUCCACUGCUAUUCACGGGACAGUUCUGGGGUCUGACCACUGUCCGGUUAUUAUCAAAACGGAGUUGGAUGGAAAGAAGGGAAGAAAACUCUUCAGGUUUGAAGCUUUUUGGGCGAAGGAAGAUGAUUGCAGGAAGUUGGUGGAAAAUUGUUGGGCCCGGCCGAACUGUGGGGAUGUCCAAAGGAGAUGGGUGAAGAAAAUCUAUGACUGUCGAUCUCUCUUGAUCAAAUGGAGCAGAAACAAAUUUAAAAAAAAAAGGAGAUUACAGAUUGAGGAGUUACUCGGACAGUUGGGGGAACUUCAAAUGAAUUGGAGCACAAAUGUAUCCGAGAUAAAAGAGAAGUCCAAACUUAUUGAUACUAUGUGGGCUCAAGAGGAAAGUUUCUGGCACCAAAGGUCUAGGGUGAAAUGGUUAUGGGAAGGAGAUGCGAACACUAAGUUUUUCCAUCAAUCCACUCUACAGAGACGCGGACGAAAUAUGAUACUAAAGUUAAAAGAUGGUGAAGACAGUUGGGUGGAGAAUCCCACCCAAAUCCGGAAGCUGGUGGAUAAUCAUUUUCUAAAUGUUUUCAAAUCGGGGGGACCUCGGGACUAGAGAAACUUGCUAGAAGGCAUAAAUACUGGAGUUACAGAUGAGAUGAAUAUGGCUCUCAUGGAGUCGGUUUCCUUGGAGGAAAUAAAUGAGGCUGCUUUUCAAAUGGGGGGUCUCAAAGCUCCAGGUCCGGAUGGUUUUCAGGGGAUUUUUUACCGGUCUUUCUGGGAGAUUAUUGUGUAAGAUGUAAACAAUCUAGUGAGGUCUUUAAUGCAAGAUGUGGUCAGCCCGACGGAGAUAACUAACACCCAUAUUGUGUUGAUCCCAAAGAUUCCAAACCCAGAGUCAGUGUCUCAUUUUCGUCCCAUAAGCCUAUGCAAUUAUUCUUACAAGGUGCUAUCCAAAGUUCUGGCUAACAGGUUAAAAGUCAUUCUACCGCAAAUUAUUUCUCCUUCUCAGAAUGCUUUUGUGGCAGGAAGACAGAUUCAGGAUAAUAUUGGGAUAGGACAUGAGGUGUUUCAUUUUCUGAAAGGGCGCAAGUCAAAAAAUAAGUUCGAGUUGGGUAUUAAAGUGGACAUGCAAAAAGCUUAUGAUAGAGUCGAAUGGGAUUUUCUGAAUGCAACAAUGGAAAAAUUGGGUUUCUGCAAACAGUGGAGGAAACUUAUCAUGGGAUGUGUGUCUCCUGUCAAGUUUGCUGUCAUUCUCAACGGGCAUUCCGGAAACAAGUUUGCUCAUUCUAGAGGCUUACGGCAGGGAGACCCUCUAUCACCGUAUUUGUUCCUUCUGAUUGGAGAAGUUUUAUUCAGAUUGAUCCAAGUUGCGGUGGAAAACAAGUCUUUGGAUGAUGUGAAAUUGGGAGUCACUGGGCCAGUUCUUUCCUAUAUUUUCUUUGCAGAUGAUAUGUUAAUUUUUUUUAGAGCAAAUGAGAAAAAUUGCAGGAAUCUUGUCAAUCUCCUUAGGUCGUUCUGUGAUGCCUCAGGUCAGGAAGUAAACUUACAAAAAUUCAGUGUUUUCUUUGGGGCGAAUACUCUGGUGAGAGUUUCUGAGGAGUUGGGAUCUAUUCUUGGCAUGCCAGUAGUUGACAACCCGGGUACUUAUUUGGGAGUCCCGACUUUAUGGGGACGCUCAAAGAAACAGGGCCUCGCUUAUGUGAAGGGGAGAAUUAUAGAGAAACUUCAAGGGUGGAAAAACAGUACCCUUUCGAAGGCGGGCAAAGAGGUCCUAAUUAAGGCGGUUGUUCAGGCUAUACCUGCAUAUCCAAUGAAUAUCUUUAAAUUUCCGGCUAUGGUCUGUGAGGAGUUGGACACUUUGGUUGCUGGUUUUUGGUGGGGAAACAUGAGUGGUGACAAUAAAAUUCACUGAGUGUCGAAGAAGGUCUUGGGCCUCCCUAAGAAUUUGGAGGGUUUGGGCUUUCGAAACUUCAUGGAAUUCAAUGAUGCGCUUCUAGCAAAACAAUGUUGGCGUCUUCUUUGUGAUCCAUCCUCACUGUGUGCUAAAGUGAUUAAGGCUCGUUACUUUCCCAAUUGCUCUUUCUUGGAUGCCAAAAAAUGGGGUAGGGCCUCUUGGGCUUGGAGUAGCCUUCUUAUGGGUCGUGAUCUUCUUAUUAAUGGAACUCACUGGCAAAUUAUGGGAGGUCAGGAUGUGAGAGUCUGGGUUGAUCGAUGGUUACCCUUCAUUCCUUUAGAGCGUCCUUCUCCGCUUGGUGAGGCUAUGGUGACUAGAAACCUUCAUGUUAGCUCGCUUAUUUUCCCUCAGUCUCGUGAUUGGGAUAUCAUUUUUCUACUUCCUUUCCUUUCGAUGGCUGACCAAGAGGCAAUUGAAGGUACGCCUAUUGGGGAUAUUAGUAGACGAGAUCGUUUGAUUUGGGCUGCAACAAAAAAUGGUAGGUACACGGUAAAAUCUGGGUAUAGAUGGUUGCAAUCAAGGUCUCUGAGCAUGAGAGAUCAUCGCCUACCUCUUGUUCGAUCUAUCCCGGAGAAGCUGUGGAAUUGUAUAUGGAAGGUCGAUGUUCCACCAAAGAUCCGCCAUUUUCUAUGGAACUCUAUGCACAAUAUCGUGGCAACUAAAGCGAAUCUGUACAAGAGGCGGUCUACCACUUCCCCCACCUGUCCUAUUUGCUUGGGCGAUGACGAAAUUGUUGAACAUUUAUUCCUUGUCUGCCCGUGGGUUCAAGCUGUUUGGUUUAGAGGGGUUUUGGGUUAUAAGAUAAACAGGCUGGCUAUUAACUCAUGGAUAAGUUGGUUGCAUGAUAUUUUUAAUCCUAAUAUUGGUAAUUCUGUUGAGUUAUUAUGAAUCCAAAGGAUGGUGGCUUACAUUUGUUGGUAUAUUUGGAAAGCCAGGUGUGCUUUUGUGUUUAACCAGGUGCGAAUCAACCCAUUAAAUGUUGUUUUGGCAAUCUCUAAUGCGGUGAGGUCUUUCCUGGCUGUUUCCAACGAUUCGGUGGUUUCUAGGGUUUAGGAGUGUGUCGGCCAGGCUCCAGGCCGAGCCACUUUUUGGGUUCCUCCUCCUCCUCCUUUCACUAAAAUAAAUGUUGAUGCCAGCUGGUUCAAGAUGUCGUGUUUGGGGUUUGUGGGAGUGGUUUUACGAGACACUGAGGCUCAUUUCAUUGCGGUAGCUCGAUACCACAUUCGGGCCCCAUGUGCUGUAGUUGCCGAAGAUUUGGCUUUGCUUCGCGGAUGUGAACUGGGUGCAGCUUUGGGUUUUUCUGAGGUAAUCCUGGAAUCUGACUCUUCCGAGGCGAUUUCUUGCCUCUCAAAUUCUAUGAAGAAUGGCAGUUGGGAGGCUAGUCCUACAUUAGAAAGGGUGAAGCUCUUGGGGGAAGACUUUCAGAACUGUCGCUGGUCUUGGGUCCCAAGAUCAGCCAAUAUGGCGGUUAAUGCUCUUACGUCGCGUGAUUUUGCGGAGCUGUGUGAUGUUGUUUGGGUCGAUAGGCCACCAUCUUCACUGGUUUUUGUUUUAAACAAUGAUGGUCUUCCAUGUCCUCAUUAGCUGUAGGUGGUAGUGUAGGGGGUGACGUUUUUGCCUAGUGGAAGCGUCUCUGUUUGUAACUCUUUACACUGCCUUCCUUACUUUUUCUUGUCUGUUGUUUGCCUCUUUGUUGACUAUCUUGUUUCCUCUCUAGCCUCUGUGCCCUGGAAUACUAUUUCCUUGUUCUUCAAAAAAACAAAACAAAACAAAACAAAACAAGAAAUGCUCAAUCCUCACGCACACCCUCUGCGAAAUGUCUAAUGAAGGCCUUCAUGUUGGUAUGAGAUGAUCCACCUUCUGCAAUGGCAUCAUGACAUAAUUGCGUAAGUUCUCUGUCUCUCCUCAUUUCCUUCCCUUCAUCAUUUCCAAAUCCAUAAACUUCUUCACUAACCCUGCAAUCUCCUCUCUUGUCACCAAAUGGUCAAUUUUAUCCUCAACCUUCCUCACCCUCCAUCCAACCCUCCAAUCCUCCACAAUGAGGUUACUAUUCAUUCCUUGAUCAAGUAGUAUAGCUAAGGUUACAAAGGGAGCACCAGCAAAAACACCUUCCGUAACCGAGUUCUAUCCACAAUGACUCGAAACACCCCCCCCCCCCAAAAAAAAACCCUCGAAUGGCACAAAAUCCUCAAUUGAUCACACCAAGGCACUACCAACCCCAUGUGGUGACCGUAACCGAGUUCCAUCCACAAUGACUAGAAACACCACUCCUCCCCACACAAAUACUCGAAUGGCACAAAACGCUCAAUUGGUCACAGCAAGGCACUACCAAUCCCAUGUCACGACAAACCUCCUUUAUCCUUUCGGUUUCCCCAUGAACCGAACGCCACUCUUGCGGAAGCCGGCUGCAUGCUAGAAACUGAAAGGAAACUUCCCAUGGCAAGGUACAAAAUGGAUACAGGAAAAUAAGCAAGGGUCUCGAAGAGACGAGGGAUAGAACCUGUGAAUCGCUCAACCAAAGGCAACAGAACUCGCUCGACCGCUAAUCGUGAAUUCGUUCACACGACCAAGUCAAACACUUGAUUUGAGAAGGAGGAAAAUACUCUCUUCAGUUGCACAAAACAAUAUAUUUGUAAUUAAUCAAGUCUCCCAAAUGCUUGUAUUACAUCAUAAGAGACACCAUAAUCUAGAUGAACUUAACAAAUUCCCAAGUAAUUAAAAUAGACAGCCUUUAUUAUUUCCAAAGCAUGGUAGUGGUCUUCAAAUUGUUUUCUUCAAGGCCUGCCUCCCGAAUAAAAAACUGAGCUACAAGGUUGUGAGUCUAGCCAUUGGAAUAGUUAGCAUCACACGUUUAUUUCCCUGAUCUGUUAACAAUGCAAAAUUGUUGUUUUAAUAGCAAAGUUCCACAAUAAACACGAAAUCUUAAAACGAAAUGUUAGACGGACAACACGAGGAUGUGUUACUGUCAUAUACGUAAAACUAUUAGUUGACACUCACUAUUAUCUUAAGAAAAAUGUUCUCUAGCUGCACGUUUGCUCAAUUCAACACUACUGUCAUUAGAAGUUGUGGUAGCGACACUCAGAAGAUGGCACUCUCACCGGUGAUGUGAUACAACCAAAUUGCAGUGUGCAAUCUUCUUACUUGUUGAUUGUAUCCAUAUAUGGAAGCUAGAACUUAAAAAUAAGUCCUCCAGGGAUUUUAAAGCUUGCAGCGGCCAUGCCUAACUGCUUUUUAUACAGUUUGGUUGUGCCAGACCCGUUCAAAGUGAAACAGGAAACACCCUCAUAUGAAACAUAAUAAGAACAUAAUUCUCAAGAAAAUGGGAGUUUGGAAAGUUUCCAAUUUUUAUUACUCCACAAAUGAAUUUGAUCCCAAUUGAUCCCAGGUUUGGUACAAACUGGGGUCCCAACCAAACUGGAAACACCCUCAGAUGAAACACAAUUGAGUAUUUUAGAGUGCCGAUAGCAGCGCCUUAAAUAAAACCGAAAGUGCAAAAUCAGAUACAAACAGCAACAACAAAGUCUUAUCUCACUAAGUGGAGUCAGUUGGCAAAGCUAGAGCAAACAUUCCACAUAGUUGAGAAUGCACUUGAAGUACAACCCCUUGCACCGACACUUUGUAUUUUCAUCGACGCACAAGACAAAUCACUACAAGCUUUGCACCGUCUUUUGAGAACUAGCAACAACAAGAUUCAGUGUGCUCAAUGCUUAUGCAUGGCCUUGAAAA